Molecule: long non-coding RNA, 51657 nt
Filed under: Olea europaea (common olive)
Lineage: Eukaryota; Viridiplantae; Streptophyta; Magnoliopsida; Lamiales; Oleaceae
Description: long non-coding RNA (OEUR_LNC004180)
Source: RNAcentral
UUGUGCACUCUUUAACUAUUGUGUAAAGAUGACAACUCACGACUUUGAUUUGGGGAUUUUUAAUAGAAAGGGUGAUUUUGCUAUUUGGCAACAAAAACUGAAGGGCAUUUUAGUCCAACAAAAAGUUUCAAAGGUCAUUGAAGGCAAUUUUUUAAUUGAUUUUUCACAAGAAUAAAGAGAAGAAGCCGAUGAGUUUGCCUAUACCUCAAUCAUUUUACACUUGUCUGACACCGUUUUAAGAAAGGUGACUAAACUGAAAACCACUAAAGAAUUUUGGAAAAAAUUGGAAGACUUAUAUUUGUUUAAGUCUACACUGAAUAAACUUUACUUGCUCGAACGUUUUUUCAGUUUUAAAAUGGAUCCUUCAAAGGUCUCGAUGACAGUUUAGACGUGUUUAACAAAUUGGUGCAAGAUAUAGAUAAUUGUGAUUCUGAAACUUAUAAGGCUAUAAUUUUGUUCAAUGCAAUUUCUGUUUCAUAUAAGGAAGUUAAGAACGCUAUUAAGUAUCGUAUAGAUAUGUUGACACCUGAAAUUGUCAUAGACUCUCUUAGAAGUAAAGAAAUGGAAAUUAGGGCUGAAAAACACGAUAAGAGGAACGGUGAGGUACAUAUGAUGGAGGGUACAACUCAAUUUAGGCAAAAUAGUCAUGAUGAAUAUCAAACUAGUGGCGAGUCAAGUGGUAAUGGAUGGAAAAAGAAGAGCAAAGGUAGGUCUAGAUCAAAAUCUAGGACUAAAGUAAGAAAAUGCUAUGGUUGUGGAAACAUGGGACAUUUUAUAAAGGAUUGUCAUAACGAGAAGGGUAAGCUAAAGGUUAAGGAGAGAAAUGAGGUCAAUGUGUUAACACCUACUUCCGAUAUAAAUGGUGGUGAGGUCUAUAUGAUUACAAGUCUCGUUGCAUGUACUGCUGAAUUAAAUCUAACUGCUAAUUCCCGCACGCAUGAGUAGAUACUUGACUCUAGUGCAUCUUUUCAUGUGACGUCUGAGAAGAAUUGGUUUUAUAAAUUGCAUGAAUAUAAUGUUGGGCAUGUUGUGCUGUGUGAUAACUUUGACUAUACUAUUGCUGGAAUUGGUGAUAUAAACGUAAAAUUUGACACAGGUUUUGUGUACACAUUAAAGAAUGUUAGAUAUAUUCCUGAAUUGUCUAGGAAUCUGAUUUCAGUAGGGAGACUUGAAAAGAAUGACUUUACUGGUAAAAUUGGAAAUGGUAUGCUAAAAAUGAUCAAGGGUGCUUUAGUUUCCAUUAAGGGAAUUAAGAAAAACGAUAUAUAUAUUACUAUUGGGAAAGUGAUUAGAGGUUUGAACUCCUCUAUCUCUUCUGCCAAGAUUGAUCACACACACACAUGGCAUAAUAAACUUGCUUAUGUAGGCACCAAGAGACUUAAGCUACUUAAUGAAAAAGGUGCUUUUGGUAAUGAGUGUGUGUCAGAUUUGUCAUUUUGUGAUCAUUGUGUGCUUGGUAAGCAUCAUAAAACUUCUUUCUCCACAAGUGUUAAUAGAGCUAAAGGUAUGCUUGAAUAUGUGCACUCUGAUCUGUGGGGUCCUGCUAGUAAUCCCACAUCGGGUGGGAAUAAGUAUUUUCUGUCUAUUAUCGAUGACUACACUAGAAAAGUGUGGGUCUAUCUAUUGAAAGAUAAAUCUGAGACCUUUAAUAGUUAUAACAAUUGGAAGAGACAAGUAGAAAAUCAAACUGGCAAGAAAAUCAAAUUUUUAAAACAGAUAACGGCCUAGAAUUCUGCAAUAAGGAAUUUGAUAGUAUGUGUAAAGAAAGUGGCAUAACUAGACAUAAAAUCGUUCCUUACACUCCUCAACAAAAUGGGAUAGCAAAAAUGAUUAAUAGGACCAUACUUGAUAAAGUACGUUGCAUGAUAUUAAAUUCUGGGGUUCCCAAGUCAUUUUGGGGUGAGGCUGUUAUGACUGCUUGUUAUUUGAUUAACCUGACGCCUCCUGCUGCAUUGAAUGAUGACACUCCGCAUGAGAGAUGGUCGGGUAAACUGAGUGAUUACUCGAUGCUUAGAACUUUUGGCUGUACGGCUUUUUCUCAUCAAAGUGGGGGAAAGCUGGAACCUAGAGUUAGGAAGUGUAUCUUUCUAGGAUACCCCGAGGGUAUUAAGGGUUAUAUGUUAUGGGAUAGAAGCCAAAAAGGGGUUAAGAUCAUCAUAAGUAGGGAUGUCACGUUUAACAAGAAUGAGAUGCCGUGUAUUAAAAGGGAAACUGAACCAGGUGAAGAAAGAGACCCGUUUAAGGUGGAGUUAGGAAAGCUCAGUACACCUACCCCUAUUGCUCCUAAUGAGGUGGAAAUUCAAGUUCAGGAACCUGAGGUGGAGAAUAGUAACGAAGUAGUGAUAGAAGAGCACUAUGAGGAAGAAAAUCAUUUAGCUAACUACAACUUCGUUAGGGAUAGAAAGAGGAGACAAACGAGAGAACCUAGAAGGUUCGAUUUUGAAUCUGAAUGAGUUUUCGCCCAGGCUAGUUAUGAAGAAUUAGUUGAUAAAGAGCCAAAAACCUUUGAAGAGGCAAUAGGCAGUGAUCAAUCUAAUGAAUGGCUUAAGGAAAUGAAAGAAGAGAUGAGUUCUCUAAAAAAGAAUCAUACUUGGGAGUUAGUACCUAGGCCUAAGAACAAAUCGAUUGUUGAUUACAAAUGGGUCUUUAAGGUUAAGGAAGGUACUAGUAGCUUGAAACCCUUAAGGUUUAAAACUAAGUUAGUAGCUAAAGGCUACACACAGAAAGAGGGCGUUGAUUAUAAUGAGAUUUUCUCACCAGUUGUUAAGUACACCACUAUUAGGGUCAUGCUCACAUUGGUUGCACACUCUGAUUGGGAACUUGAACAACUUGAUGUAAAACUGCCUUUUUACAUGGUGAGCUUGAUGAACAAAUCUUCAUGAAUCAACCAAAAGGUUUUAAGGACAAGUCAAAACCUGAUUAUGUGUGUUUUCUGAGAAGAUCCUUGUAUGGGUUAAAACAAUCUCCUAGACAGUGGUACAAGAGGUUUGAUUCCUUUGUACCCACUAUAGGGUUCCAAAGAAGUAAAUUUGAUCACUGUUUGUAUUUUCAACACAGUGAGACUGAUGAUAAUUAUCUGUUUUUGUUGCUCUAUGUGGACGACAUGCUCUUGAUUAGAUCAUCCUCUAAGUGGAUAAAUAACAUAAAAACAAAACUAAGUGGUGAAUUUUGACAUAAAAGGCCUAGAUAAAGCUAAGAGAAUCCAAGGUAUGAAAAUAGAAAGAGAUAGGUCAAAUUCCGUUUUGUUUUUACAUCAGUCUCCAUACAUAUCCAAAGUAUUGAAGAAAUUUAAUAUGAGUGAUUGCAAACCCUAUCACGUUGCCUCUUGCUAAUCAUUUUGUUUUAUCGAAGGAACAAUCCCUUUGCAAUGAGCCUGAAGUAAAAUAAAUGAGUAGAGUACCUUACUCUAAUGUGAUUGAUUUCAUAAUGUAUUUGAUGGUUUACACUAAAUCGGAUUUAGGUUUUGCUGUUAGUACUCUCAGUAGAUACAUAGCUAAUCCGGGCCCUGAACAUUGGGAAGCGCUAAAGUGGCUAUUAAAGUACUUGAAGGGUACAAGUGACGUAGGUUUAAAGUUUAGUGCUAAUAAAGAAGGUAUAAAAUUAAAGGGUUUUGUAGAUACUGAUUAUGCGGGAGAUAGGGAUGGUAGGAAAUUCACUUCGUCUUACGUGUUUACCUUAUCUAAUUCAUGUGUUAGUUGGAAAUCACAAUUACAACAUAUUGUUGCACUAACCACUACAGAAUGAGAAUAUAUUUCUACCAAUGAAGCUAUUAAAGAAGCUCUAUCGCUUAGAGGCCUACUUCAUGAACUAUGUGUCUUGAAUGAUUAUGUGGAUGUGUAGUCUGAUAGUCGGUCACCUAUACAUUUGUGCAAGAACACCGUUUUUCACGAGAGCACUAAACACAUUGAUGUUAGACUCCACUUUAUUAGAGAUAUAGUAGCUCAAGAGGUGGUAAGACUUGAAAAGGUCCACACACACUACAACCCUUCCGAUAAGGGGACGAAGGUACUGCCACUAGCAAAGUUUAGAAGUUGCAAGAAACUUCUAAAUAUUGAUACAGGUAAAUGAUUUCCAAUUUUAUUUGUUUUCUAUUAGAGGUGUCACUAAUGGGAGACAUUUUCUUUUGCAGGUCUUUUGACACUAAGGUGGAGGUUGUUAGGCAAUUUGUUGUCAAACAACCUCCAGGGCAAUGAUGUAACAUCGAUUUUAUUUAUUAUCAAUCGGCCUUGGCCAUAUGAUUGAAUUAUAUGUCAACACUAUCAUCAAGACAAUCCAACCCACAUCUCUAUGGACCGUUAGAAGCAACCUAUUUUAAUAGUGUUGCUCAUGGUUCGUCUCAUUUACUUGGAGGGCUAUGUUAUUCAUUUGGAGCCCAUUACCUUGUGUUGAGCCUUGUUUGGACCACUAAGUUAACCUAACCUAACUUACCAUUUUUGGUCACUCAUUUGGCUUAUAACCUACGGCUCCUCUACACCUCCACCAUGAAGAACACUCCAUCUCUUUCUGUGACUUUGAUUCUCGGCCUCUUUCCUUCAUAUAACUUGUGUGGUUUCUCUUGGGCUAUACAUUGUUCUUCAUCUUGGCCGACUCUUUGUGAGUAUAUAUAUAGCAACCGUAUGUGGGAAGGAAGGAGGUGGAAGUUGGGUGUUGUCUCAAUCGAGGUUGUGUCGAUAUAUGGUGGAAACUGAGCCCGGUAUCACCUUGGUUAUUGCUGAAAUUACACCUUACAACAGCAAAAUAGUAUCAAAAUGCUGGGAGAUUUUACCACCCAACGCGCAUUAUUUGGUGGCGCUAUCACCAGGUCUUUCCCCCUUCGCUUCCAGGUUGGCAUUUGGUAAUUUCUUUUGUUUUUUCUCUGAUUUCUUGGUAUAAUUUUUUUGCGUGAAAAAAUAUGUUACUGAUGAAUUCAUGCUUGUACUGAUUUUCAUUGUGAAGGAUGUGAGUACUAUUCGCCAAGUUCCUGAUCAUCAGGUUAGUUAAUUAAUGAAGAUUAUUGAUUUUUUUUGGGUUUUUGGUAUUUUCCUGUUUUCGGUGAUUCAAUGAUGAUUUAUCUUUUGAUUGCCUUGUUUAUGGAAUGUCUUUAGGAGGUAUUUGUGGACCCUACGCGCGAUGAGAGCUUGAUAUUUGAAUUGCUGGACUUGAAGGCUGACGUGCUGGAUGAGGGGAGUGCCACGUGGUUUCUUCAAGACCUUGCCAACGAACAAGAUGCUGAUGGAACGAUGGUAAAAUUUGAAUUUUCCAUUUUGUUUUGCUUUUGAUGUCGCUCGGUGGAAUUCUUGAAUCUUGAUUAGUCAAUCACAAAUUAUGGAGUAGCUACUGACUAUAUUUUAAGGUACUUGCUGUGAUAAUUAAGUGAAUCUUAAAUUUGAGCCGUUAGUCUCAGUUUGAUUACAUGUAUAAUUUUUGCCUUGUGCAUGAACAAAAAAUAAGAACUUUUUUUGGUAACAAUUUUCUAGAGAGGUAUAUCUUUUAAAUCAAUUACUUUUCUACGAUCUGCGUCCGUUGGAUUAUUGUUGAGAUGUGGCAGUAACUUUGGUGGUCGAGAAUUACACUAGCAAUAAUGGUUUGAAUACAUUUCCCUUCCUGGGAUUUCUUAAAUUUCAACUUAAUUAAUCACCAUACGUUUUCUGGAUUUUCUUAUAUGCAAAACAAGGCCGUAUGAUUUCAUAGAGGGGAUAAUGUAAUCUUGUGAAAAAAAUUCGCUUUUUCUGUGGAUGAAUAUUAUUGCAGAGAUUUUACAGGGUUCGUUUUUUCUUUAAGAUUGAUGUAUACCUGUGGAUUGAACCUCUUUUUUUAGUUCUAGUGAAGCCACCUAUAAUUUACAAUUUUUUGUUAAUAAUCUAUACAGAUUUAUUAACCUUCUCACUGUGCAUCAAUGAAUGUUUCUAUAAUUUAAAACUUAGAAUUUCCACAUGCUUUCAUAAGUUCCCCCAUCUAAGCUUUUGUCUUAACUUUUUCUUACUAACUUCUUAGUCGUGCUGAGAGAUAUGGAACAGUGAAUUUAUUAUAAUGAGCUGAGAGUUACAUAUUUUAAGGUACUUGAGCAGUCUGGGGUGUUUGAGGCUGAUUGGUUGCAAUACAGAAACAUACCUGCUGUUGUUACAACUGCUGCUGGACCUGGACAAAUGGUAUGCAACAUUUUGUAUCAUAUAUAUAGGGGAACAUACGUUGGACUUUUUUAAUUUUUUUGACUUUUGCUUUGUUAAUUUUAGCUUUGUAAUUGGUUGCAAACAAUGGCACAGUAGGCAGUGUGCUAUAGGGUAAUUGGGAAAGUAUUUUAAAACUCAUCACAUGUUCCUAUUCUUGUAUUUGAUGUGUGAUGUUAAGAACUAUGGAAAAGUAGUGUUAGGUGUCUCCAACGUGACUCUUUCUAUCAACUUCCACAAGAAACUGAAUCCAUACUCUAAGUUUAGGCAAGAAGGCCUAAAACCAAAAAAUCAUCUGUACUUCUUUUCCUUCUUCACUAGAUGAAAAUGAAAUUUAUUUGAAAUUUUCACGAUUAUCUCAAAUAAUUGCUUAAAGAGCAUGCAUUCCUCAUGGAUAUAUUUAUUUUGUGAUCAUAACUUCUCUCCUGGAAAAAGCAAUUGCGACUGCUACAGCAGGUGGAACGAUGAUAAACAUUAUCAACUGUGAUAAAAUUUCACAGAAUAUUGUGAAGGUAAAUUUGUUUACUCUUCUUUAUAGCACUUCACUUCUAUAUUUGGGGGAGCAAAUGGGGUCAGGCCAUUUGGGGAACAGAUUGAAAAUAUGGACUGAUAGGUCAAUUUGCAAUGUGUUUUUGUCAACUGUAUGUAUGUAUGAAGAAAGAAUUACAGAGUGACCUAUGGUUUUAAGUUCUUGCUUCUUUGCAUGCUCGGUUACAUGGAGAGAAAUAGUGAGAAGGGAGAUUUCAUGAAAGAAGUCGCAGACAAAAUAAUAAAGUGCAUUGGUGGGGAAUAUAGAAACUGGAUAAAUAAAUAGGUUUUCAGAACAUUUCGUAAAGGUAGAAAUCUGGUAAGAUCGGAUUUUUCAUAGCAAAACCAAGACAAAAUUAACUGUUUUUUGUAACUUAAGUAAGCAAAGCUUAUUCUCUUUGGUUUGCAUUCCCAAUUCAAACUGGGACAUGUAGACCAUAUCUAUAUUUAAGUUGUUUUGUGCAAUCUAAAUGUUGGUUUUUCCAGGUCUACUUGGCUAAUUUGCGCCUUAAGGGAGUUGCGACAGAUGUUCUGAUCACAGCAUAUGAGCCUAUGUUGAUUAAGUUGCAAAAACUUUCAUCUGCCAAUGCUUAUCGGUUAUCACUUUGUUUAUUACUUUGCUGAAGAUAUGCAAGUCUUCCCGAGCAUGACGGAAAACUACUUUUUUUCUACCUGUUGAGAUGUACCUAAUAUAUUCUUUCAUCUGCUUUGUUUCUGUUCUUGUAGUCCUUUGAGCGAAAGUGCUAGCGCAAUUGGGGCUGGUUUCAUUGUACCUGCUGCGCAAUGUGGAUGUAUACCAAUGGCUGAGGUGUUCAAGCUUGCUGUUUCUAGUUUCAAGGUCAAUGAUUGGAGCCUUUUUGGUGUUGCUGCUUGAUAAGUUCUGGAAGGAUGCAUGUAAACAAAAACCGCGAAUUAUCGAAAUUGCACGUUUUCUAUUUCCCAUCUUAGACCAGUUUUCACUUGGAAUUAGAAACUUUUACUUGGCAGAGGAAAAGAAGUUGCUUGGAAUUGGACCCUUGGAAGUUCUUUUGGCGUGUUAGCCGGUUAGAUCUCAAUAUUUGAUGAAAUACUUUUGCUGAUUAUUGGCAAAUUCUCGUUAUAGGUUACAAUUCUUGGAUCAGUGUCCUUAUUUAAGGCUUUUCUUUUGAACUUUACAGUGAACACUGUAAUUACGUGUUUUUUGUAUUUUCACAGCUCUGUCACUUUCAGAUGGUAAUUACUCUUCUUACACGGAUUACUUGUGUACAUAUUGUAAUUUCGUCCAAUUUGGUGCCUUGUGUUGGCAAAACUUGAUAUUUUCUGAUGACACUCAUUGUUCUAUUGCAUUCAGAACAGUAGUGCAAUAAGAAUCUUAAAAGGGAGAAACAAGUCAACAACAGUGUCUAAUUGUACUACAAAAAUAUAUUAGAGAAAAACUGAAUGUGUACAUGCUUAUAAAUAUUACAAGACUUCCAAGUACAAAAUAUAAGCAGAAAAAUAUUUAUCUCCGCCUCUGGGGGUGGAAAGUGCUAUUAGCUGGUGUCUUCUCCUCUCUAAAAGGUUGGGUUGAUUCAUCUGAUACACUAGGCAAUCUUGACACACUGCCCUUGCUUCUCCUUGCAUUUGGUCCAAUUUCCUCUAUCAUGUACUUCCAUCCGUCAAUAGGCCUCCUUCGGCUAAAUAUGUGAGUCUUUAUAAAACUAGCUAUCUGAAUACCACAAAUUAAGCCGUUUCAGUUAAAAUAAAAAAUAAAAAAAUGGCGAGACGUAAGCGUAAACAACGUAAAUCUUGUAAAUGAAAUUAAGAAAAAAAAUAAUAUUCAUCAAGAAAUUGAACAGAACCCAAGCCCUGCUAACUCCGAUGUCCCCAUCUCCAUAUAUUCAACGCACUAUGCCAAAAAUUUCAUGAAGGAAAUCGGAAUGGGAGGAAUAUCAUAGUUGACAAUAUGUUAUAGAUAAAGUAUUUUUACAUUUUCAUCCUAACAAUUCCAGGGUUUUAUUUUCAGACAUGGAUUUCUUCCUGAACAUGCUUAUUAACGGGCAAGCAAACCAUCUCAAUCAUGAAAUAAUAAUGAGACUUAAAAAUGCAUAACCACCGGAUGAGUUCUUUCAACAUACCCCAAUAGGCAAAACCCUUACUACUUUUUUUCAACAACCUCGUCAUCAAUAGGUAAAAACACGAAACCAACAUGUUAGCCAUUUUUUACUACUAUGGAUAACUAAAGGGCAAAGCAUCAAAAAAAUUGAUUUUUACUAUCUCCCCCCCCCCACCCCCCCCCCGCCAUUUAUUUCUACACAUGACAUUAUAUAACAUAUAAUCAUGUCAACGUACCCAGUAAUUUAAACAAGACCAGUUAAUCAUUGCACAACAUGCGAAAAAUUUCUACUUGAAAUAAUAUGAAUUAGAAUUGAAAGUGAAGGAAUAAAGUGCUUACUCAGAGCAGCUAUCGAGCAAUUUCUCUAUAUUAUCUCCAUCAACGGAAAUGGAGUCCCCCAAUUUUGCCUCCUCCAUUUUCUCAAUCUCCUUCAUCCAUAGCCCCGCGUGUAUCUUCUGCUUCUUCAACCUGUAAUCUCGUUUAAUAUUCUCCAAGCUAUAAAGCGACGAUGAAGAUGGAGACAAUGCAGAGGAGUCCAUAUUCUUUUUAUCUUCCUUUGUCAUUUUGCCCUUCCUCUGGUCCCAAUUCUCGUUCAUGUCCUCCACAAAGGCCUUGGUCUCGGAGUCAAUUUCUUCUCCCUGGUGAGUAUUUUCAGCGGUGGCAGUGGGGAGGGAAAAGGUAACGUCGGAUUCCCAGGGGGCUACAGGUGAGGAUUUGCCGAAAUUAUCGUCAGGAAGCCACGCCGUUUCCCAUGCGUCGUUCCACUCGUUGUCGCCAGUUUUGUUCUUAUUGGUUGUUCGGUUGGUGGAAAAUAAAGCGGUUGUUGCGGCGGCGGAGGGAUGCCAGCUGGAUUUACUGAGAGUGGCGGCGAGCCUGUAAAUUGGAGUCAUUUUAAGGGAUGGAUACUGGUGUGUAUGUGAAUUUUCAGCACAAAGUUUAUUAGAGCUUGUUUGUAUAGUCAAAUUUUAAUUUGCCGGAGGUGGCUGCUGGAGUUAAUCGGGGGCAGCGGGGCCGGGAGUGGCGGUGGAGGCAGUGGUAGAUUCUGAAGAAGAUGACCUGAACAUAUUUAGCCCUGUUUGGUCCGGUUUUACUUGUUCCAAUGGCCACCAAAUUUAGGUUUAAGUGUUUGAUUGGUCACGAAGCUUAAAAGGGUAAUUGGCACAAAACGUCCCUACCUUUCAAGUCUAUUGUGGAAAACGUUUUUAUCUUUCAUUUUUUGGCAUUUUUGCCCUCAUUUCAACAUUUCUUUGCGCUGGACAUCCUUCCGUCCAUAUUCCAUCAGUUUUUCCGUUAAUUAAAGGGUAAUUGGCACAAAACAUCCCUACCUUUCAAGUCUAUUGUGGAAAACGUCCCUACCUUUCAUUUUUUGGCAUUUUUGCCCUCAUUUCAACCUUUCUUUGCGUUGGACGUCCUUCCGUCCAUAUUCCGUCAGUUUUUCCGUUAAUUAAAUACAAAAAUACCUUUUUCUUUCCAUAAACAAGGGUAAAAUUGUCCUCACCCACUUCCCCCAUUUUUCCCGCCAUCAACUUAGUCCAUAAGUAACAGUAGCAGCAAUAUGAAUCUGAAAAUACUUUAAAUGAUUAAGUUAAAUAAAGAAAAAAUAUCGUGAACACAUUAUAUUUCACAAUUCCACAACUACUGUUGCUGUCAUCUUGUGUCACUGGAAAAAUUUAGAAAGACAUAUUAAAUGGGUAGUCAAUUUAUAAUGAGUCAAUUUAAAAUGAGCCAUUCAUCUUCUCCAUUGAGCCAAAAAGAGCUAUUCACCAUUUUGGCUCAUUAUAAAUUGAUUACCCAUUUAAUAUGUCUUUCUAAAAUUUUCCAGUGACACAAGAUGAUAGCAACAGUAGCUGUGGAAUUGUGAAAUAUAAUGUGUUCACGAUAUUUUUUCUUUAUUUAACUCAAUCAUUUAAAAUAUUUUCAAAUUCAUGUUGCUGCUACUGUUACUUAUGGACUAAGUUGAUGGCGGAAAAAAUGGGUGAAGUGGGUGAGGACAAUUUUACCCUUGUUUAUGAAAAGAAAAAUGUAUUUUUGUAUUUAAUUAACGGAAAAACUGACGGAAUAUGGACGGAAGGACGUCCAGCGCAAAGAAAGGUUGAAAUGAGGGCAAAAAUGCCAAAAAAUGAAAGGUAGAGAUGUUUUCCACAAUAGACUUGAAAGGUAGGGACGUUUUGUGCCAAUUACUCUUUAAUUAACGGAAAAACUGACGGAAUAUGGACAUAAGGACGUCCAGCGCAAAGAAACGUUGAAAUGAGGGCAAAAAUGCCAAAAAAUGAAAGGUAGGGACGCUUUGUGCCAAUUACCCAAGCUUAAAAUGUGAAACUUAACUUACAAUACUUUUAAAAUUUAGUGAUCAAAAUUUACAUUUUAAAUUUCAGCAAACAAUCGAAUAUAUGAACUUAAAUUCAGUGAUCAAAAUUUAACAUUUUAAAUUUAGUGAUCAAUCAAAAACAUAAACUUAAGUUCAAUAACCAUUGGAACAACUCACCACAUCAAUCCUGAUAUGCCCGGGGCAGUUGAACCACAUUGUAAUGUGGCAUAUUUAAAUUAAAAUAAAAUUUUUAUUAGAUUUUAAUAGAAGUGAAUAGAGUAUGUGAUAAAGAAAAAAAAAAGUUGUGAAUUCUAGCGAAUAUAGGAUUAAAAUUAAUUUUUUACAUUGACUUUGAUUAAAAUCUAAAAUUUAAUUUCUGCCAACUAAUUUUUUUAUUUGUUGCUUUAAGUUAAAGGGUUUAAAUGUCAUUUUAUAAAAUAUUAACACAUUUUUGGACAGAAACUGCACGUGGGACGAAGUCUGCUCAUUUCUCAAACGUUCGUAGAAACAAAUCAAACAAAUAAAAGAUUGGUGGUAUUUUUUCUACUUUUCUUAAAAGUAGAGAUGAAUAUUGCAAUAUACACUUCUUUUUAAUAUUAGGGGUAAUUAUCUUACUCCACCCGUGUUUAUUACUUAUUUGCACUUAAAACCAUCAAUUUUUUUAUUAUAAUUUUGAGAAUUAUACUACUUGUACAUAAAAAUGGUACAUAAAGGAUUACACAAAAUGAUAUGGUGGAAGAAGAUUAGAUGAAACAGUAAACUGUGUUUUAAAUUGAUAAAUAAUAAAGUGACAUUUUUUAAAUUUAUUAUUAUUUUUUUUUUUUGCGCAAUCUUGUCAUCAACAUUUUCAUUAAUUGAUACAUCUUUCUCUCAUUACGGUUUUCAUUUAUAAGUUUGUUGGGAGAAAAGUAAAAUGACUUAUUGUUUAUUGUGUACAUAUGUAUAUAUAAUGUGAUACAACAAAUGAAAAAUAUUGUGUAAACAUAGUUAGGGUUUAGUUAUAGUAAGAGCAUAAUAGUCAUGUUAAAGAAAUUUUGAUUUUCAUGGGUUGUAACUCAUUUUCUAAAGGUUGGGCGUUGAAAUCUCAUGCCUUGUUUGAGUCGCAUUUUUUGAAAAAAAUACAUUUUUAAACAGUGAUUUGAUAUCAUUUCAACUAUACAUUAUUCAAUAAAAUAACAUUACAUGUAAAUUCAAAAAAAAUUCUUAUUAUUUAAUUAUACAUUCUCUAUCGAUCUAUUAUUUCAAAAUACAUUAUUUACAAAUGAUACGAUACAAACACACACUCCGUUUAAUGGUUGGUAGCCGAGAUAAGGUAGUCUUAAGAAAAAUGGGCCCAAUUUUUAGUCUAAUCUCUUUAGACCGAACAUGAAGGCCCAUUAGGGUUUUGUACUGAAACAACUCCUAUAUAAACAAUUCUUACAGGCCUUUUACUGGAAAGGUGAAACCCUAAUCUGUUGCCUUCAGUUGGAGCAGGAAGAGAGAGCCGGAUUGGAGAUCGAAUCAGUGGGGGUCAACAACAAUGGUGCACGUCUCUUUUUACCGUAACUGUAAGCAUUUUUCUAGUCAUUAUUGUACUUACAGAGAUAUACGCAUAAGUCUGUGAUUUAUAAAUGGGAGAGUGAAUUUUGAUGUUAGUUGCCUUGUUGAUCUUCGACGUCUUUUGCUCAAUUCCUGUUUUGAGCUGUUCGAUAUCCGGUGAUGCUAUUGAUGUAAUUUUUUCCUGAUUCUGUUUUACAAGUUUGAAUCUAUGUAAGUGAUUUUUAGUUUUAAGCAGAAUGGGCGUAGUGAUCUUAAAGUUUUCAUUAUAAUUAAAUGUAUCUUUUUCAUAAAUUUAUUAAGAAAAGUUUUGAUUUUGUUUAACUAACAACUGAGGGGCUUUGGAAAAAUGAGGAUACAUCAUAUGCUGCACAAAAAAAAGAAAAUCUUUGUUCAAUUGUCUAUUAUCUAUUCAGAAAAACGUGAGUCUGUGUACACGUAGGAAAUAAUUAACUUAUUCGCUCACCCAAUUGGAAGGUGAAGUUUGUGAUAGCAUAUUGUUGAUAUGCUUGCCAAUUUUUCUACCGUCAAUAUAGUACAAUGUGGAAAUUUUAGGUCCCUAUACUUAUAUGAGAUAAUUAACUCAUUUGCUCACCAAAGUUUGAAUCUGAUGUUUGCAACCUUACACUGAUUGAAACUAGAUUAUUGCCUUGAUAUGAUAUUUCGUGAAAUAUAGAACUUCAAAUACUAAAUUAUAUUGUUCAUUUAAAUAACAAAAAGGUUCCCUCCUCGAUAGGUUAGCUAUAUUAGUGGUUGAAUUGCUUGCUGAACUGAUAGAUACAUGAUUGGUUACAGAUGGGAAAACAUUUAAGAAGCCCCGUCGUCCCUAUGAAAAGGAACGACUAGAUGCUGAAUUGAAGCUUGUUGGAGAGUAUGGACUUAGGUGCAAGAGGGAACUCUGGAGGGUUCAGUAUGCACUAAGCCGCAUCAGAAAUGCUGCAAGAAAUCUUCUGACUCUUGAUGAGAAGGACCCUCGUCGUAUUUUUGAGGGUGAAGCCCUUUUGAGGAGGAUGAACAGGUAUGGACUGUUGGAUGAGAGCCAGAAUAAGCUCGAUUACGUCCUGUCCCUCACAGUAGAGAAUUUCCUUGAGCGCCGCCUGCAAACUUGUGUGUUUAAGGCAGGUAUGGCUAAGUCAAUCCACCAUGCUAGAGUGCUCAUCAGGCAAAGGCAUAUCAGGUGCGGAUGAUUUCUCAAUUUUAAUGACUGUUUUAAUGCCCAUGUUAUUGACUCUUCAUUUUGACUUUUAUUAUGUUAUUUCAUAUAUAUAUAUAUUGGGAAAUAUUAUUGACACACAAAUUAGAUGAUGAAUGUCAUUUAGAAAUGGAUAUUUGAUUGCAUAUAGUAAAUUGUCGAUAUACUUAUAGGUGUGAUAAGUAAUACGCCUUGGUUUUUGCUUUCACUUGUGUAUCAGCAUCAAAGCUUUCAAUUUUGUAUGCACUUAGAUCAACACAACAGCAAGAUUCAGAUAAUUACAUGAUAUGACAUUAAGCAAUUGAAAAAUCUUGUUUAUGCCAUUUUAAUCGUUGGUUAACACCAAUGGUAGAGUUGGCCUCAUAUUCUCUUGGUUCUUGCAUAACUUCUUAAUCUUGUAUAUGUAAGGAUUUUAUAUUUCUCAUAGUGUGAGCUUCAAAUCUUGCCUUAGCUUUUGGAAUCUCGGCGGAUAGAGGACUUGUGGUUGGCAGAUAACUUAUAAGUGACGCAAUAAUUUUUAUCUUUCGGUUUUAUUUAUAUCAAUCGAGGGAAUGAUUUAGUCUUGUAAGCAUUCCAUCUCUCUCUUUUGCAUGCAUGUAGAGUUAAUGUUUGUCACUGACUCACUGGCACUCUUCCCUAAUAUGAACUUGAACUUGACUCUUGGAAGUUUGAAACGUGCUUUUGAUUGAAAAUCAUGAUUACAUUACUUUUUUAUGAGGUGCUUACAUUUGUGACCUUUUUACUUAGAAUAUAGAAAAGUUAUGAAAUGUCAUGACUAGGAAAUUCUGCUACUAACGCAAGCUACAUUGUAAAUUAUUCUUAAGUUAAAUUUGUUAUUGAGCCCCUUUUUUCAAAAAAAAAAAAAAUACAUUUUGAAAUAGUGAUUUGAUGGAGAAUGCGUAUUUAAAAAAUAAGGAAAAGUUUCAAGUUUGUGUUUAUAAUUUUGUUGAAGAAUGUGUAAUUGAAAAUAAGAGAGAUAAAUUUCUUAAAUAAUGGAGCUCAAACUAGAACUAAAUAUGCCUGAUUUUUAAUAAUAAUAAUAAUAAUAAUAAUAAUAAUUAACACUGAUUUUUAAACUUGAAAUUUAAAAUGUAGGUUUCGCUUAGCUUUGCGAAGUGGGUUUCUGGCAACAUUUGUAGCCCAUAUGUAGAAAACCAAAUUUGUACACAUAAACAUUGCUCAAGGAAAAGAUGAAGCUCAAUUCAUGACACCACCCAGACUAUUUUGAUAACAGAAUUAAUUAAUUGUUCUUUAUCAAAAAAUUAAUUUCUUUUUCUUCAUUUAUACUGUUGAUUUCACUCUAUCAAUUAUGCCAUAACUAUCUUCUUCAUCUAAUUUAUUUUUUUUUAAAUAAAAACUUUAAAUGCCACUAAAUUACUAUAAGCCAUUGUUUGGUGCAAAUUAAAAUCAAAAUUUUUUAGUAAACUUUGAUGAAAUUUGUGGUUAAAAAUUAUGGAUUAAAAAAAAACUAAAAAUUAAAAUUAAUUGUUAACUAUGACUUUGAAUUCAAAUCAUAUUAUAAUUAUACCAAAUACGGGCUAAAUCUAAUUAUCAUGAAAGGAAUAGGCUUGCUCAUCUUUUAUGUACAGCCCAUUGGGUCACCACAUAGUUGCAUCUCAAUCUAAAUUUGUUGAGUAACUUAUUGAGGGGGAAAAAAAUGCAAAAAGGAAAAAAAAAANNNNNNNNNNNNNNNNNNNNNNNNNNNNNNNNNNNNNNNNNNNNNNNNNNNNNNNNNNNNNNNNNNNNNNNNNNNNNNNNNNNNNNNNNNNNNNNNNNNNNNNNNNNNNNNNNNNNNNNNNNNNNNNNNNNNNNNNNNNNNNNNNNNNNNNNNNNNNNNNNNNNNNNNNNNNNNNNNNNNNNNNNNNNNNNNNNNNNNNNNNNNNNNNNNNNNNNNNNNNNNNNNNNNNNNNNNNNNNNNNNNNNNNNNNNNNNNNNNNNNNNNNNNNNNNNNNNNNNNNNNNNNNNNNNNNNNNNNNNNNNNNNNNNNNNNNNNNNNNNNNNNNNNNNNNNNNNNNNNNNNNNNNNNNNNNNNNNNNNNNNNNNNNNNNNNNNNNNNNNNNNNNNNNNNNNNNNNNNNNNNNNNNNNNNNNNNNNNNNNNNNNNNNNNNNNNNNNNNNNNNNNNNNNNNNNNNNNNNNNNNNNNNNNNNNNNNNNNNNNNNNNNNNNNNNNNNNNNNNNNNNNNNNNNNNNNNNNNNNNNNNNNNNNNNNNNNNNNNNNNNNNNNNNNNNNNNNNNNNNNNNNNNNNNNNNNNNNNNNNNNNNNNNNNNNNNNNNNNNNNNNNNNNNNNNNNNNNNNNNNNNNNNNNNNNNNNNNNNNNNNNNNNNNNNNNNNNNNNNNNNNNNNNNNNNNNNNNNNNNNNNNNNNNNNNNNNNNNNNNNNNNNNNNNNNNNNNNNNNNNNNNNNNNNNNNNNNNNNNNNNNNNNNNNNNNNNNNNNNNNNNNNNNNNNNNNNNNNNNNNNNNNNNNNNNNNNNNNNNNNNNNNNNNNNNNNNNNNNNNNNNNNNNNNNNNNNNNNNNNNNNNNNNNNNNNNNNNNNNNNNNNNNNNNNNNNNNNNNNNNNNNNNNNNNNNNNNNNNNNNNNNNNNNNNNNNNNNNNNNNNNNNNNNNNNNNNNNNNNNNNNNNNNNNNNNNNNNNNNNNNNNNNNNNNNNNNNNNNNNNNNNNNNNNNAUAUUUGACUUCUUCUCUCACAGAUGGACCUCACUUUUCUCCUAACGGUCAAAAAAUCAAUUCUCAAAAUCAUUUACAAACGGACUCUAAUAUUUGGUACACAUUUUCAACAAUGCACGUAGCAGAGACGGCAAGGGUCCUUCAGAUGUCACAUCGUAUCUUUGUUAUUUUUUGUCAAUAAAGGUUUUCCUUUUCUUUGUUAUGUCAUUCAAGCAUAGUCUUUUAUUAACUAUGCAUAUGAAACUUUCUAGAUGUAUAUUGAAAAUAAAAUUUAUUUACAUAUAUAGAAUCAUAGGUAUAGGUCUAUAUGAUGCACUUCGAUAAGGUGUGUCAAAUUGGAUCGUAUUAUCAACUUGGUACAAAUGCGCCAAUUGGACUUUUUAGCUGAUGCUACGAGUUUCUUGCAAAGAAGAUUGUCUUUUGAAACGAUGGUAUUUUCAUGCUUUAGUGAAAAUUAUGUCCAACUAAUCUAUUGCUAAGAUCAACUUGUUCAAAUGAAAUAUAACAUAAAACAUAUAAUACCUAAAUAUAAAAUUCGACUUCUAUAUACUCCUCACAAAGUGGAGGAAGCUUUUGGAAAUGUCAAAGAAAGAACUUGUUCUUUCGACAUAAGAAUUUUUAUCAAUAAUUUUGAGAUCUUAAUAAUUUAUUCUGUAGAUCUUAAUUUACUGUAUACUAAACUAAUUAGUCAAAAAUGCAUGAGAAUCAUGAAAUUUUGGCAUGUUCCAUGUGUUGUCUUUCACUCAUGACUAGUAUUUUGAGUAUAUCUUUAAAUGAUGAAUAUUUUUUUAUGUUCCUUACCAUGAUAAAAUUUGACAUAUGGCAGUCACACAUUUGAAUAUUAUGGAAAAGUUUGCAGUCCAAUAAAUUUAUGUUCUCUACAAUGAAAUGUUGAAACUUUGAGCAAGAUUCUAUAGCCUUCCCUUUCAUACAUUAUGCAUAUUUCCUUCUUUUACCUUUUUCUUUCUUUGUUUCUUUAGUUUUUUAUUUAUCGUUUUUUUUUUAAUAUUUAUUUAUAAGAAUUCAAUACAAUAAAGACAUUAUUUGGUCGAGUGCAAAAACCAAUUUUAUAAGCAACAAAUGUUUUAGACAGAUUAAGUAAAAAUCAUUUUAACUAACAAAAUGACAAUUUUUAAAUUACAUUGGGAUGAUAACAUUCAAUCUUAUAGAUGUCUGCUUAUUAUCUUUGCGUAAGGACGCAACUUCACGAGAUUCUAUAUUUAUAAAGAUCAUUUUAUGUACAAUAGAGAAUAUUAUUAAAUUUAAAGAGUGAAAUAAUUUAAUACUCCCAUAAUACUCAUUAUUUUGGGCAUUUAUUUUGCAUGUUAUUUAUGGUAAUUACCUAGGUGACAUACAUUAAUGCAUUAAAUAACAAACUACUGUAUGUAUAUUACAUAGGGCGACUACCUGUAAUCUUCACUAUGAAUAUCAUUAUUCUUUUGCUUUAUUCAAUAAACAAUUAGUGUUUCUUAGAUAAAGAUUUUUUAUUUUUUUAGUUUGCAAAUGUGGUAAAAAAAAAAAAAGUAGAAAAAAUAUUAAAAAUAAUUUUUUUUUAGAGAGAGAAUAUGUAGUUGAAAUGAGUGUGGAUAAAAAGUUAUUCUUAAAUAAUAAUAAUAAAAAAAAGGACUUAUUGAUUUCUCAUCUUUUAUAAGCCCAUGUUUGGUCCUCGUUAAAAUUACAAUUCAUUUUUCUCUUGCUUCUUAUUAACCACACAUUGUUCAAUAAAUAAUAUUUACACGUAAAUUAAAAAAAAUCUUUUUUUUAAUCACAUAUUCUUAAAAAUAUUUAAUAAUACUAUUUGAAAAUAUUUUUUUUUCAAAUUCUCAAUAUAAUGGGGACGGGGGACCAAACAAUUAAGGACUUACUUUGAAUAAUUUGAAAAUAUAUGUAACGUAUUAAAUGCAAUAUUUUGAUUUUUCAUUUAACAAAGAAAUUUGAUCUUGGUACUUAAGCACCUGUUUGUUGUUGCUAAAAAUUAUAGUUUAAUCAAAUUGAUGAAAUAUGUGAUUGAAAAUGUAUGAAUCCACACAAAAUUAUGACUUUGACUUAAAUUUUAAUCCACGCCAAACAGAGCAUAAGUGUAGUUGGACGACAAAUUUCAACUAACAAAGCACCAAAAAGUUGUAUAAAAUUGGUACAUGUCCCCUUCAUAUGACACAGACCUUCGAUCACAUUUUGAGCACCGACCAAUCAAUUGAGCAGCAAAUUUACCCCUAUUAUCUUAAUAGAGGUUUGCCUUGCAAUUUCAACAUUAUCCCUUGAAUUACUCAACCACUUCACUACGUAGAUCUAGUUGUGAAAGUUUCGUAGACGAUCAAAAUCAUACUUUUGUCCAAUUCCAAUAUUCUAUUUCAUUAACACACGUAUACUAACCAAAAGAAAGUUUUAAGUAAAACAAGUAGGGGAGCUAACACAUAUUAUUACCCUAAAAGAUAUCUGAGGCUAGAACUAUGAGAAAUUUAUAAAAAAUGUCAUGGAAGUUUUUCGCUUUUAAGAUGGCACGGAAGGUAUUUUGGGGCCACCAUGUUCGCAUCCCCGAACUCAUAAUCAAAGUGGUCUCGUGCAAUUUCAUUUGCGGCCAUGAGUUGUCCGUAGCCUCUACAAAAGUCCCUUUGAUUCUCUCUUUAUGAAAACAUGUUUGACAUCAUCUAGAAGUGCCGGCAAAAAGAGUAAAAAAUAGAAGAGGAUCAAAUACCAUCUAAUCUCAUUCAUAAAUGAUGUCGAUUAGCGAUCGACGAAUGUUGCUUAUAUGACUUCGCUGGCACUUUAUAAGAAAUUGAAAAGCCUUUUUAUUCCAAGGUAAAUAUGAUCGCAAGGCCAAAUUUUUAAAAAUUGAUUGAAAAAGGGCACCGAGAGUGGAGCGUGGAGCUUAAUCUGACUCAAUAGUCAAUGUAGAAAAAGUUUACUCAGUUCAAAUAUGUCAUCUAUUUUUUUUAUUUUUCAUUUUUUUCGUUAAUACAUGCAAAUGGGUCUUGGAACGAUAAAAAGUCAAUUAAGUUUUUCCUUUGUGUGCAUAUGAAAUUGAACAUGACACCCAAAUGUUUUAGGCUGGAAAAGAGGGAUCAUACGACAUGUUAUUAAAAAAAUGAGAGGACUAAAAUGAAAACCUAAAAAGCUUCCAAUUUCUUCCUUCCCCUCUCAAUUUUUUCAACAUUUCUCCUUCACAGCCCCUUAACUUUUCUAUCUGUCAAUUCUACCCCCCAAAAACUACAUGAAAAGGUCCAAGUGCAACAUAGUGUAGUAGUUGGCAGCUUCAUCUUCAAAUUCCCACAGCCCAUCACAGAAGGGUCGAUUUUCUUCUGAUUUGGUUUCUUUGUCGACUCUUUUGGGAAUUCCAAGCUCAUCAUCAGAGGCUUCGAGAAGACGUCUGAUCAUGACUCUAUCAUCCCCACCUUCCUCUUCAUGUUCUUUAGCACCAAUUACAACAGAGCACGCGGAGGUGUUGGUGGUUUGGUUAUGGUCCCGCCCAGCUUCCUCCACCGUGCACGAAGGAGAGGCAAAUGAAGAAGAGAGCUCUUGCUGUAGGGUUGUAAAAAUUGCUGAAAAGUCUUGGUUUGGCUCUUGUUCUUCUUCAUCAUCAAGAAUUGAGAGUAUACAGUUGUAUGAUUUGUGGUGCUUUGAGUUUGUGUCAUCAAAGGCAGAGGUUGCUGCUUCAUGUUCAUUGGAUUUUUCUCUCUGGCGCUUAAGUUGUGUUUCGGCCAUUAAAGAAGAAACUAAACAGAAAUAGAGAGUAAGAGUGUGAGUGUGAGUGUGAGUGUGAGUGUGAGAGAGGAGAGGAAAGGUUUAUAUAGAUGGAGGCGACAGGUAAAGAUCCAAUAAAAAUGAGUCCGGUGCAACACUUUGAAAAUCGUCAUGGCAAUUGGCAAACAAUUAUGCUAUUGGUAGAUGGCAAUAUUGACUGACUAUGUUGAUGUGUCAAAAAAUUGUUGGUUGAAAAAUCGAUAAUUUUCGAACUCUUCAAUGACAACAUUAGUUUGUCGAAGAAGUUUGUAAGAGAUGCAUGAAUGUUAUCGUUAGCGCAAAAAGAAUAAAAUAAAAUCAUUACAGCACUAAUCCAAUUCAAUUAUUUGACCAGCAAGUUGGUUUUCAACUUUUAUUAUUAUAGUUCGGCAAUCAAUUUUGAACGGCCACUAACAAAUUGAGUUAUGACGUAGUGGUUACAUAAUAGUUAGAAACUAAUAGACUAUCGUGACUGAGUUAGAAAGAGCCUUUUUUAUGAAAACUAAACCAUUUAUUGAGACUACGAGUGUUAUUUUAGUUUUUACAUAGGUAGGAUGUUUUUUCAAUUCAAAAAUAAGUAACUUCUAGCUUUUUCUAAAUAAAUCAUGUUGUAAUUUUAUGAAACUUUAGACUUUCUAAUAUUAGAAACUUUAAAAUUUGAAAACCUAAAUUUCUUUAUUGUCAAGAUUUUUCAUGUCAAAUCAUCAAGAAAAAUUAAUAAUGCGGAACAUACCUUAAUCCUUUGGGAAUAUUUCUCUAUUACUGGAUCUUGAAUUCGAAUCUCGAAUCUUGAAACUUGAAUUGCAAUCUCUUCAUCUUUGGCUAAUCUUGAAUUUUGCCUCCUUUGAUGAUUUUAUUUUUAUUCUUGAUUUUUCCUUUUGAUCCACAAUCUUGAUUCUUGAAUUCCUUCUUGAUUUUUUUUAUUGUGGCUAUUGAAUCUUCCUCUUCAAUGUAUUUUAUCUUGUAUUCUUGUGUUGAUAGAAUGACGAAAAGAAUGAGAAGUUGCUUAUGAAUUGAGGUCUAUAAUCCUAUAUAUAGUUUUUAUAUGUAUUUUACUUAUCAUGAAAUACAAUUCUAAAGGAAUUUGAUCUCUUCACAUAUAAUCCGACUCACAAUUUAUUUAAAUGCCCUAAACUCAACAAUUUAAUUCUUGAGGAAAAUACAUAGUUCCAACUAAUACAAUUCACAGUCCAAAGUUUGUAUAUGCAAAAUUAAGAUAUUGAUCUACUAAUUACACCCACCCAAACCCUAAAAAUCUUACCUAAUUCAACAUACCCCUCAACCACCACCACCGUCUUCCUCACUUUCACACGUACAACCCACCAUUCCUUCUCACUCACUCUCAUACGCACAACCCACAACCGAACAAUUUGACGGGGUCUAUGGGCCGAUCCAACAGAGCAACGAUGAUGGUGUCACUGCAACUCUCAUCUUUCCUAAAAGUGACAAUUGACUUCUCCAAGUGUUGUUGCGCACAAUACAAAGGCGGAGUCGAUGGGUCGACUGCCACGCGUAGCGGUGAUGGUAUUGUUGGAAAAAAUAAGUAAAUGACUUAAUUUUGGCAAAAUUUUCGGUGGGACCCAUUGGUCCAAUUUGAAAGAUAAAAGUUGAUCAUUGUUCUCUUCCGUGAGAGUAUCGAAACCAUAUAUUUAUUUGUCAAAAUUAAUGAAUUGAUGAAUGAGAAAUUGGAGCUCAAAGAUGACCAUUAGAAGAUAGUUUAUGUGGGAAAAUAAAACUAGUCCCACGUAGGAAAAUGAAGAAAGUAUUAACCACUUUAUAUAGGAUUGCACAUUGGAAUGGUGUAAUUACGUGUAGCAUAAAUGCUCUCUCCACGUGCGCGCGUAGGGGGUGCAAAUAACGGAUUGAAAUUGCCUUUGGACCUUAAACUUUGUGCGGGCGUGACCUGCGUACACGUAUGUUAGACCGAACAGAGCAAAAAAUUAGCCCUUUUAGAGUGUCCAUGUUAUGCAAUUUUUUGUUUUCUUUAACUGACCUUUGAGUUUUCGAAAAUUGCCAAAACUCCAAAAAAUUAAAGCAACUCUAGUGUUUAUUGCUAUGAAGUUAAUAGGCAAAUUUAAACUCACAUAAAAGGUCAUUUUUCCAGCAGUUCUAACACAUACGAAAACACACACUAAAGGAGGAGAAAAACAUUCUGCAAUUUUUUUCUGUCUGCAUCUCGAUUUAUGUUCAACGUCGUCACUGUGGUGAUUUUGUUCAGAUACUAGUCAGUUCGCUGGAGUAGUAUCUGUGGUACUCAAAUUCUACGGGUUUUAUCGUUGUAUCCUGAAAAACAGACGCUCGGAUUAAACCUCAUGCACUUAUGGUGAGAGGGCGAAUCUAUUUUAAGGAAAUUAUGUUCGCACAGGCCUCGGGAUGAAAAUUAAUCCACCAUUUAUUUAUUUUGCGAUUAUACCUUUGCAAUUUAUUCUUGUAGAUUUAAUUAGUUAGCUUAAUUUGUCAUUUUAUUAUGUUAUCGCUCUAUUUAUGUUUAUCAAAAUUAAUCUGCGUUAAUUUCUAUUUAUGUUAAAAAUAAAAAUUUGAGAAAAGAUUAUAUUCCAUAAUUUUGGUAUUUUUAUGUGUAAAUGAAAAUACGGUAUAUAUGAAAAGGGUAAAAAAAAUAUGUGCAAAUAUGGUUAAAAGCAUAUACGGUAUGCAGCAUAUAUGGUAGGAAGUAAAUACGGUAGGUAGCAUAUACGUUAAGUUGCAAAUACGGUAAGCUGUCUAUAAAUACGGUAUAUUGCAUAUACGGUAUGCUUAAAAUCAAUAUAUAAACUACAUAUACGGUAUGCGAUAAUCCGGUUUCAUUAACACCACUAUAUUCCACCAGGUUUUACCGCUGUGCAGCAAUUCCUCCACUUGAUCGGUGAAACAGCGACGAGAAAUUCCUCCAGUUGAUCAGCAAAGCAACGGCGAUUGUGCAAGUGGUUUGCAAAUUGUGGUGGUGUGUAGGUUGUUGGUUGUUUUCUUUUUCUAUUGGUGGUUUUUUUUGAUCCGUGGGUGGUUGUUGGUCGACGGUGAUGAUAGUGAUUGUGCAAGUGACGGUGGUUGUGCAAGUGGUUUGCAAAUUGUGGUGGUGUUUGUAGUUGGGCGGUGGUCGAUGGCAAGGCAGGGGUGAUGUUAGCGGUGCUUGGGCGUGGUGUUUAACAGCGACAAUGCUAGUGUUGGUGGUUGACGACAAUGGUGAUGGUGUUGUGUUGAUGAUCUUGUUGGUAGUUAUAGUGGUGGCAGGGGCGAUGGUCGGAUGGGGAUGAAGAUUAUUUGUAACCUACUAUCUGGGUGUUUGUAACCAACUACAUAGUUGAUUUGUGACCAAGUAUUGAUAGUGGAUUGGGAUUGAGGGUGAAGUAAAAUAUUUGAUGUAUGUGACUAACUAUUUGAUUAUUUGUGACCAAUUUUUUAACUGUGACAUAAAAUUUCAAUAAUUCGUGACUGAAAAAUAAUUUGUAACCAACUAUUUUGAAAAUUUGUGAUCCUUAAAUGAGUUAUGACCUUUAAAAAUUAUUAUUUGUCAUCAAUAAAUAAAUUGUGACCUUAAUAUUUUUAAUUUGUGAUAGAAAAAUAAUUGUGAUCAAUUAAUUUGAUAAUAUAUGAUCAAUAAAUAAGUUGUGAUCCAUAAGUAUGUAACUGUGACCAUUAAUUGUAUAACUGUGACAUUAAUAAUUUAAUUAAUAAAAUAUAUUUUAUUAUUUAGUUAUCAUCUGAGAUUUAAAAAUUUUAACUUAUUGUUUGAAUUUUGAAUUUGCCAAUAUUUUACACUAGAGAUAUGAAUUUUUCCCUUAAUUCUUUAUUAAAUCAUUCUAAUUUUGAGUUUAAUUUAAAUUAUACACAAUUAAUUAUAUACGUAGGUCACAUGACAAAUUAAAAAUUUUCCCAACAAAUCCAUCAACCCACUACUUCGAAUGUCUUUUGUCCUCUCGCGAGUCACGAGGCUUUAUUAAUUAAUUUGAAUAUCAUAGCAAUGCACCUUUUAUCUUUUUUACUUAAUAAUAUUCUUCUUCACAUAUGUUUAAGAAUAAAAUCUAUUUUAGGAUAAAUCUAUUUCACUUACUCGCAAGUUGAUUUUUUCGAAAAACACAUUUUUAAUUUUUUAAAAAUAUAUUGUGUUUCUAUCUAGUUUAUGCUUUUGUUUUUUAUGUUGUACGAAUUUUAAAUGUCUCGGUAAAGUCUAAUAAAAGAGCUUUUUUUAACUAUAAGUAAAAUAAGACAUAAAUUUGAUUACUUAACAAAGUUAUAUGACGUUGAAAUGUAUUGAGAAGCGAAAUAAUUUGAUUUGAGCAGAAAAAAUUUUAUUCUCACGAACGAAAGGCCGCCUUAAUUUCAAGUAAUAUGAAGAUAGUAGUAUGAUAUAAUGCAUCUAUUAAAUCGAUUACUCUUGAGAGUAGCCAAUGAUAUUACAAAGAAAGGUUGUAUCUACAUAUUCAAAACUUAUUUUUAUUGAAAGAACAAGCUAGUAAUUAGAUGAUAUUAAUCGUCCUAGGGGGAUUUAUUUCAUUUACGGAAAAAACAAUCUUAGUCCAUGUAUGGUUUAGCUAGAAAAAUUGAAUUAAAAUAUAAAUUAAAGUCAAUCAUUAAUUUUAAAAAUAUAUUUUAUUGAAUUCACAACUUUUAAAUUAUAUAUUCCAUCAACUUUCAAGAAAUUUUUAUUUAAAUCAAAGAGUGACUUAAUAACAUACGAUAAAAAGUUGUACAAACAUGACAAGGUGAUAAUGACAAAGAUAUGAUAUAGCAUAGGCCAAUAUGCGAUGCCAUGCACAUGGUGAGUGGACCUAAUUUCCAUUCAUUAGUGCCCACAAGAAAAGGAAUAUUGUACAAUUUUUUUGGGUUCUAGGGGUGACAACUAUCGACUGCUAUCAACAAGUAUUAUUGGCCUAAUAAUUUUGUUGCCAACAAUAUGAUUAGGUUUACAAAAAAUAAAGUUGAUUUAAAUUCAUUUAUAGACAACGCAUGAAAAUUAGCUACAAGUUUUCCAUUAUGCUUUUUUGUUUCAAUUAUUAGGCAAAGGGAACAGUUCAUAUGCUAUGUUUGUGUGGCCUUUAGCCACUAUAUAUGAAAGCAUCUAUCAUGAGUGGGGGAGACAAGGAGGGAGAGGGGUAAGUCGUCAAUUUUUGUUGAUUAUGAUGUGUUCGAUGUUUUAGAGUGGACAUGUAUCGUUGAGCAUUCUUGAAUUCUAGAAGAAUCGUUAAGAAUUGUAAACAAACAAGACACGUUCGACCUGUAUGUGCCAAACAUAUAGCUAAAGUUUCAUCUAAGCAAUUUAGGAACCAUAAACAACAUUAGAUAUUGGAGGAGACAAGUUCCAUAUUUUACAUCAAUUGGUUACCUCCAUUCCAUUCAUCUCGAAUCAGCAGUGCCAUAUUUGACUUGAUGAAUAUUAAUUUUGAAAACCUCCCUAAAAACCGAAGAGAAUGAGAUGAAAAUUGUUCUAUUGAAAGACAAAAAAGAGGGUGAGUCGUGAUACCUCCAUGAGCUUGAACGGUUUCUUGCUUGUGGAGGAUAGAACAACAUUGAGUUUUCAAUAUAUUGUAUGAAUUUUUUUGAGUUACAUUUCUUCAUUAUUUGUAGUUAGUUAUGUAAGUCCAUCGUUACGUAGUGCAUCCAUCUCAAUCUAUUUAUUUAUUUUUCUUGCAUUGAGUGUCAAUGAUAAGUUGGGAAGGAAAAAAAAAAAAAGGUCAUAAGAAUCAAUACUUGAAUCUCCCUGAGAACAAAUUUGCAUAGUUAAGUGAAUGGACACUCUUAACAAAAGAUUUUAAAAUCAUUCGACUUUACAUGAUGCUCUUGGGGAAGAUAUUCUUAAUGAGAUUUGCUUUUCUUUAGAAAUGAUUACUAAUUUGCUAUGGUUUUCUUGUGGUCAAGUUGAUAGAAAAAGUGUGCAUGAUGAGAAUAGUCGUAGAAAUUGAUUAAUUUAUGAAGAUUAUUGGAGAAGGAUGUCAUUUUCAUAAAUAUAAUAGAUGUCCAUGAUAACUCGUGAAUCGCAGUCGUAUUUUAAAGAAUUAAUUAAGUCAAAAUUUAGAAUGAAGAAUUUUGACUUCAACAUACAAGAUGAAAUAACAUUCUACUGUUGAUAAUGUAAAACGACUAAAGUCAUUCUCUAAGUUUAGUCCUUAUUUGGUUUAAUCAAAGAAAUUGAUAAAAAUUUAAGUCAAAAUUAACAAUUAAUUUAAUCACGCAGUUCUUAAAAUUCUCAAGUUUUAUAACUUUUCAAUUGCACAUUUCAUCUUCUUUUUUUUUUUCAAAAUCUAUUAAAAUUUUAAUUUUUAACUAAACCAAAUAGAAAUUAAAUAUACUCAUUAACGAAGUUUAGAGCUAUUUUUGUUACGUCCCUCUUUUCCUUACCUUAUCUUUCCUUUCCUUUCCCUUCCUUCUACUUAUCAAAACAUAAAAAUUAGGAUUCAUUUACUCUCCCCUCAAUUUAAAAGAACAAUGCAGUAAUACCCUUUAAAAGUAAUUACUUUUUUGAUAAAUGUUUUAAUAGUUUUUCAUGAAAGUUGAUGAAAUGCAUAACUGAAAGGUUGAUAAAAAUUAUAAAUCUCAUUAAAUAUAUAACAAAAAUUAAUUAUCGAUUUUAACCUUAAUUUUUUUAACUUUUCCAAUAACACCAGUUCACUAACAAGCCACAGAUAGACAAAUCAUCUAUGAGAACAUGUUAUAUUUGACAAAAACAAGACAAAUGGCGACAUAUUCGAUCUAAAAUGUUUGAAGUCAUGCUCACGUUACAAUCACGAAAAAAUACAUUUGAGCAACAAAGUGCAUCACAGUGUCCAUUCAAACAUAGAAAAAACGUGCUCCAAAUCAAGAAUCGAGCAAUUAAUUCUUCAAAAUCUGACUUCCCUUUCAUGGAAAUCAGAAACUGCAAUCGGUUUGUGUCCAUUGUACUAGUACUACCAAAUAAGCUAAGAUUUAUCCCAUGUUUUAGAACGCAAAGAAGAAUAAUGAAUCUAGCUAAAAAUGCCUACCAACGAUACAAACAAAUGAGUACCACAGUUAAGAAACCUCGACCGGACCAGGAAACUGGUGAACAAGACUCGUAUACCCUUUUUUUCUUUUUUCCUUUUUUUUUUUUAUAACCAUGGGUGUCCGGACCAGCUUACGUGCACCUCGACUAAUCCCUCCGAACCCUAAAGUUUACAGCGGUGUACUCACUUCAGUGGCCCUGAAAAGACUCGAAUUGAUGACCAUUAGGGAGUAAACCCAAUGUCUGAUCAUUGAGCUACUUCUCAGAGUUGAGACUUGAAUAUUUUACUACCACAUAAUUAUCAAAUAGCAAGGAGAAGAUUCGCACCACCAUUACCGCCACUAACCAACACAUCACCUCUCAUGCCCAUCAAUCAACCCCAUUCCCUCUAACCACCAACAUCCAUCUCCAUCUCCACCUCUACCUCCACCAACAUCCCCUCACCGCUGCCAACACCAUAAAUCUUAAAAACACAAAGUUAUUAGAAAAUGUUCAACACAAGUAAAAUGAAGAUAACAUAGCAUUAUGGACACUAUCAAAAUCAACAGUAUACAGAUAAUUUGUAAUUCAAAACUAAAGAAAAUUUUCCUCACUUUUGAAACAAGUUAUUCUAUCAAUAAAACAGGUUCAGAUAUCAAAAUUAAGAGAAUUAGUUUGAACUUUCCAUUUUAUAUAUCGAAGAGAGAACUUCACCAAAAACAUAGUUUACAUCAUUCAAAGGGUCAAAUAAUAGCGAUUCAAUGACUUGACGUAUUUAAGAACCAGAAUAAAACGUUAUAGAAAUAUGCAAGAACAUCCAUUCAAACUAGCCAAAGAAAAGCAUAAACUUCGGGAUAAAAGAGAACAGGAAGCUGCUAUAAAGCUGCAAAGAGUAACCGAAGAAAAAAGAUCACUUUAUAGCCGAUGCUCCCAGUAAACAUGUUCAUGCCUUAUUGUUUUCCCCUUCAUACAAUUCCAAGAACUUGAAAAAUCGAAUCACUGAAUUCUAUGAGAUAACCUUCAUAAGACACCAACGAAAACCUAUAAAUGUAUUCCUCCUAGAAGUUAUUCGAACAUUUUUCUGCGCAAAGGUCAACUUUGAUAUUUUCUCAUGUUACUUCAAAGGGAGAAGGCAAUUUACAGGAAGAAAAUUUAGAUUUAGUUUUAAAAAGAUGUACCCAAGACUACCUCAAAGAGAACAAUCAAUCGAAUCUUGAGUAAAAUAUAAUCCUUCUGAUCCUCCUCCAAGUGAAAGGGAAAAAAGUUGAAAAUGCAAACUUGCAAGAAAUUACCCAUUAGUAGUAAUCAGGUGCAUCUGGGAUCCAAUCCAUCGGAGAGCGAGGCACUCAAUUUGAAUGGUACAGACUGCACCGAAACACAAAUGAUCAGCAUCCCAUCACAGCACAAUUGUAAACAAAACUGCCAGAUUGUUUUCGGCCGAGCAAAACCCAUUGCGGCGGACCUUCAAUUGGAACCCAUGCAUUGACUUCGAUAUAUCCCUGACCAACAGUCCGAGGCCCUCCAAUUACAAUAAGCCUAUCGCCACAUGCCCUAAACGCCAAACCCCAACCAUUCGUAGAAUCAGCUCGUUCUGGCAAUCUUCCUACGGUAAUCCACACUUUAUUAUUCUUGUCAUACUUUCUCAGUGCCAUGUCAGCAUAAUCAGCAGCAUAUAAUUCAUUAUUUACAACAGCAAUCAACGGAGGUGCUUCGGACGUAGCAGGUCGAUCGAAUUCCCUGGCCACAUCAGUCCGCACUGGGGACAUGUUAGGUAUUUCAGUCCAAGUCUCGGUUUCCAGAUUAUAUUCCUCUCCACAUGUGAGAAGCUUCGACUCUGUUCCUCCAAUUCCUCCAAUCACAUAAAACUUUCCAUCCAUGAACACCCCAGAACACAUCUUCCUCGGUUUCUUCAUGCUUGGAAGUGUCUUCCAAAUUCCCAAUUCAGAAUUAUAGAGCUCUGCGGAACCCUAAAGUUUACAGCGGUGUACUCACUUCAGUGGUCCUGAAAAGACUCGAAUUGAUGACCAUUGGGGAGUAAACCCAAUGUCUGAUCAUUGAGCUACUUCUCAGAGUUGAGACUUGAAUAUUUUACUACCACAUAAUUAUCAAAUAGCUAUCUUAAAAACACAAAGUUAUUAGAAAAUGUUCAACACAAGUAAAAUGAAGAUAACAUAGCAUUAUGGACACUGUCAAAAUCAACAGUAUACAGAUAAUUUGUAAUUCAAAACUAAAGAAAAUUUUCCUCACUUUUGAAACAAGUUAUUCUAUCAAUAAAACAGGUUCAGAUAUCAAAAUUAAGAGAAUUAGUUUGAACUUUCCAUUUUAUAUAUCGAAGAGAGAACUUCACCAAAAACAUGGUUUACAUCAUUCAAAGGGUCAAAUAAUAGCGAUUCAAUGACUGGAGUCACUUGACGUAUUUAAGAACCAGAAUAAAACGUUAUAGAAAUAUGCAAGAACAUCCAUUCAAACUAGCCAAAGAAAAGCAUAAACUUCGGGAUAAAAGAGAACAGGAAGCUGCUAUAAAGCUGCAAAGAGUAACCGAAGAAAAAAGAUCACUUUAUAGCCGAUGCUCCCAGUAAACAUGUUCAUGCCUUAUUGUUUUCCCCUUCAUACAAUUCCAAGAACUUGAAAAAUCGAAUCACUGAAUUCUAUGAGAUAACCUUCAUAAGACACCAACGAAAACCUAUAAAUGUAUUCCUCCUAGAAGUUAUUCGAACAUUUUUCUGCGCAAAGGUCAACUUUGAUAUUUUCUCAUGUUACUUCAAAGGGAGAAGGCAAUUUACAGGAAGAAAAUUUAGAUUUAGUUUUAAAAAGAUGUACCCAAGACUACCUCAAAGAGAACAAUCAAUCGAAUCUUGAGUAAAAUAUAAUCCUUCUGAUCCUCCUCCAAGUGAAAGGGAAAAAAGUUGAAAAUGCAAACUUGCAAGAAAUUACCCAUUAGUAGUAAUCAGGUGCAUCUGGGAUCCAAUCCAUCGGAGAGCGAGGCACUCAAUUUGAAUGGUACAGACUGCACCGAAACACAAAUGAUCAGCAUCCCAUCACAGCACAAUUGUAAACAAAACUGCCAGAUUGUUUUCGGCCGAGCAAGACCCAUUGCGGCGGACCUUCAAUUGGAACCCAUGCAUUGACUUCGAUAUAUCCCUGACCAACAGUCCGAGGCCCUCCAAUUACAAUAAGCCUAUCGCCACAUGCCCUAAACGCCAAACCCCAACCAUUCGUAGAAUCAGCUCGUUCUGGCAAUCUUCCUACGGUAAUCCACACUUUAUUAUUCUUGUCAUACUUUCUCAGUGCCAUGUCAGCAUAAUCAGCAGCAUAUAAUUCAUUAUUUACAACAGCAAUCAACGGAGGUGCUUCGGACGUAGCAGGUCGAUCGAAUUCCCUGGCCACAUCAGUCCGCACUGGGGACAUGUUAGGUAUUUCAGUCCAAGUCUCGGUUUCCAGAUUAUAUUCCUCUCCACAUGUGAGAAGCUUCGACUCUGUUCCUCCAAUUCCUCCAAUCACAUAAAACUUUCCAUCCAUGAACACCCCAGAACACAUCUUCCUCGGUUUCUUCAUGCUUGGAAGUGUCUUCCAAAUUCCCAAUUCAGAAUUAUAGAGCUCUGCGGAACUGAGGAUAGUGCCACGUGAGUUGCAACCACCAGCUAAUAUUGCAAUCUCCCCGAGGCUGGCAGAUCCAAACAAACACCUAGGCUCGUUCAUGUUUGGUCCCGAUGACCACGUGUUGGUCAACAAGCUAUACCGGUAAGUGAUAUGAGACAUGAGAUCCCACCCGAAAACAAGAAGCUCAGUGCCAACAGCCAAAGAUUCCUUAUCUGCACACCCAAAACAGCCAUUAGGAUUCAUACUUGGUAAAUGCAUCCAACGGCGCCGACUCGGGUCAAAGGCUUCCCAUUCGAGAAGAUGACAGGAAAAAUAAACCCAGUGCUCGACCACGCCAUUUAGCCUCCUCAAUCUAUAGAGCUCACCGCUUCUAACAAGUGAACGAAAACUACUGUUUAGAGAUGCAAUAGCACCGUAAUCAGCUCUCGAGGACCGAAUUAGACAACUAAUAGAGUUGUCACGACCAAUAGUAGCGAUCAAAGAACUCGAAUCAGAAUCAGAAUUUUGUCCUGCAUACUGCUUAUUACCAGAUUUCUCAGAAGCGGACAUUAAAAACCCACCAAUUGAUAAAGAUGUAUCUACAAAGAUUCCCAAUUUCUUAGACACCUUUCUGACAACAACUUCUUUCUCUCCAUCUGUUUCUAAAGGUCGCUUACCGCGCGGAACCUCAAUUUUUUCCAGCCGUUGAUUCAUGCAAGGCCAAUUGCUUUCUUGUUCACAGGUCCUGGAAUAGUCCCCUGAGACUAAACAUACCCGAUCUUCCACCAUCUCCUCGAGAUGUGACGGCAAAAGAAGCACCUCUUCUUUAUUGAAACCACUCCAAAUCCUCGUCUCUUCAACAACUGCAAUCCGCUGAUAAAAAUGGAUAACCAUAUAUCCAAAGUUCCAGAUGCAAUAAAAAGUAAUUGUCAAGUUGUGGAAAAGAACAUAUGCGGAAAAAAACUUAUCUACUGAUAAAAUUGAAAAACUCGGGAAAAUUAUUCAUCUAUACGGGGUUGUUCAUUGGUACCAGUUACCCGAGGAAAUUUUUAUUCAGCAAAAAAAAAUAAUAAUAAUAAAAUCACAUUAAUUAUUAUUUCUGUGAAAAUUCAAUAAGACUAUUAAACUAGAUCAACAGAUUAUCAAUAAAAAAAACUGUCCUCGACUAAGUACUAAAUUAGAAAAAUGACUUCUCAAACAACAGUACAUACCAAUCGGCAGAGAAAACCAGGUUCAAAAUUCAAAAACAACAUAACAAUCAAAUCUUUUGAUGAAAUAAAACAAAAAUAAUUCAACAAAGCAGCCCAGAUCUCUACAAUUCAGAUCAAACAAUACCCAGCUGCGAAGAUCUUAUUUUAAUCAAAAUCAAAGUUUUAAUAAUGCAAUCUGUAAACCAAUAAAACGAAUUCAAUAUUCAGAUUAGAUCCGCCGAUACUCUUUUAAGAUAAAAACUCAAUCACUGUUUAGCAUCAAGAGAAUAACAAGAAAGCAAACAGAAUAAACAAAAAAUCAAAUGAAAAGGAACAAAAAAAAUACACAGAAAUCGUAAUGAUUAAUAGUGAUAAAAUUAAUAAUGGAUGGUAAAAUUAAUAAUGGAUGGGACUUACAUAUAAUGGAUAAGAAGAUGCAAAAGGAGAACCUGAAUGAAAUUAUAUGAACAGAACAAUUCCUUCUCUCUCUCUCCCACCUUUAUAUGUAUGUAUUUAUGUAAAUUCCAGUAUAUAAUUAUGCAUAACUUGUGUGUGUGCGCGUGUGUGUGCGUGUGUGAGAGAGAGAGAGAGAGAGAGGCGGGGGUUNNNNNNNNNNNNNNNNNNNNNNNNNNNNNNNNNNNNNNNNNNNNNNNNNNNNNNNNNNNNNNNNNNNNNNNNNNNNNNNNNNNNNNNNNNNNNNNNNNNNNNNNNNNNNNNNNNNNNNNNNNNNNNNNNNNNNNNNNNNNNNNNNNNNNNNNNNNNNNNNNNNNNNNNNNNNNNNNNNNNNNNNNNNNNNNNNNUUUAGUCUCUCAGCUAAAAAAAUUCUUACAAGUAAAUUUAACUUAUUUUUAUUAUUUUAUUUAAUUUCAUCUCCUUAGUAAAAUAAAGCUUUAUUUUCUAUACUAUAUGAUUGAUGUUUUAAACUUUCUUCAUUAGAUUCCAAAUAUAUAUAAAUCUUAACUGUCGUUUUAUUCAUUUUUGUCAUUUUAGUCCAUUAGUCAUCCAUGGCUGUAUAUAGCACCCUUUUUUUUUUUUUUUUUUUUAAGUUUUAACAGUACGUGGGAAUUUGAAUGCAAAAGGUACUGUGAAAGAUCUAUAUAGACAAACAUGUAUGGUUAUAGGAAGAGUCGUAGAAGAAGACUUAAUUGUUGUGAUUGAUUACGAUACAUUCUCGUAACGUUUUGAAACUAUUGAAAAUAGAGAUGAGGAAGCGGUGGAAAUUGUGGUGACAGAUCAUUUACAAUUGUGGACGUUAAAGUUGAGUUUUUUCGUUUAUUGAUGAAGGAAUAUCGAGAAUUAAGAAUAUGCAUUAACAACACUUGUCUUGAAAGGAUUAAAAAGUGAAUUCGAUCGAGAAGAAUCAUAUCCUAUUUGUCUACCUAGCGCAAUUAGAGAAUUUUUUCUUAAAAAGAAAUAGAUUUUUUUUCCUUGAAAAAUAAAAUAUUUUCUAUUUUUUCUUGGAAAAUUAAAUGUUAAUCCAAAUGCUAAGGUAGAUUUCUUUUGUAGUCACCUAGUGGGAUAUUUUGGAUGCGGCGAACCGUGGUGAAAAGUUAAAUUAUCAAGAGCAAAGUCCGAUAAAAAUAUUAAAAUGGUUUAUCUGAUUAUUUAUAUUUUCCUAAGUGUCAAAGAAAAUAUUGAAAUUUUUAAUUACACAAAAAUUUUGAGAAUUGACUUCGGAAAAUUACUUAGAUUUUUUAAUAAUAAACAAUAGAGAUUAUUUUAUUAACAACUUAUUAAAUAACGAAAUAUUGACCCUUAUUAUGUAAUUGAAGACAACGAGUAAAUUCAAAAUUGACUCAAACUUCUUGAUGAAAACCACAUUGUGUUGAAAACAUAGUACAAAAGCGGUGGAAAGACCAAAUAUUAGGCAAAAUGUACAAUUAAGAUUGAAAUUCAUUGAAUCUUCCGCUUGCACCCUUUAUCAAUGUGGAAGAUUAAAAUAAUGUGAUCAACUUAAUCGAAGAAAAAAAAUUCCCUUCAAAAUAAGAUUCCAUUAAACAUGUCAAUUGUCAAUUUUUAAACCAACGGUUAGUUUCACAACCAUGUGAUCCACCACUAGGGCUGACUUGAUUAAAGUCUGCCACACUUGAUGAAGUUGAAAAAAUUCAUAUCAUAAAGAAUUUUCUUUAUAUUCGAUGUCAAUAGCAAUGUAAAUAUUUGUCUGAAUAAUAAUAAAUUAGUUUCAUUUUAAAUAAAUUUUGGACACAAGAGGUGUGAAAUAGAUAGUACUGUCAAAAAUGGACCAAGUCAAUACGUUUAACAAAAAAAAAAAAAUUAGUGAUCAAUUCAAAAAUUGGUUCAACCAUACAUAAAAAUUGAAAAUAAAACCCCAAUAAAAUUAGCAAAGAAUGUCUUGUUCAUUUUAUUUUUUUUAUUUUUUUUAUCAUGUAUCACUAUUUUCGAUCAUCAAUUAGACUCUUGACACUCGAUGCUUUAUUUUUUCCGUAUCAAUAUCCGAAAUAUAAAUUUAAUCUUAACACUCGAUACUUUAUCUUUUUCGGAUCGAAAUUCAAGAUAGUGUUUAAAGCAUAGAAAAUUUUGAUAAUAUAUUUUCCUUCUUUCUUUCCUUUUCGGGUUUGUAUUGUGCAUGAAUUCUCAAUAAUCAUUUCAACUUUAAUAACAACCACUUUUAUUUCUAUAUGUUUAAGAUAUGGUCGGCUUCUAACUUUCUUGCCUAAUCACCUUGAGAUAAUCAUCACAUCCAUUUAACCUGUCCCUUCAUUGAUUUGUUAAUCCUACUUUUUCUUUCUAUAAUCUUAAUUAAGACCUUUAAUAGAGUUUUGAUCAAAUAACCCAAACAUGGGUCAAUUAUUAAAAAGGGUACAACGACUCAAACAAGUUAGGCUAUCUCAGACAAUCCCUUCAUUGAUUUGUUAAUCCUACUUUUUCUUUCUCUAAUCUUAAUUAAGACCUUUAAUAGAGUUUUGAUCAAAUAACCCAAACAUGAGUCAAUUAUUAAAAAGGGUACAACAACCCAAACAAAUUAGGCUAUCUUGGACAAUUAAAUUGCUUAGAUAUAUGCACGGAAAUAGUCAAUUAAAUGUAUUUGAUUGAUUUAAUUUUCAACCUAAAAAUGUUAUGCUUGUCCAUUUUUUAUUGGUGGGUGGAUGAGAGCGAAAGAGAGAAGAUUAUUUGGAAAAUAAAAACAUACUCCGCUAAAGAAAAUAUUUUCCUUAUUUUUAAAGAAAAUAUGGUCAUGUGAAAAAAAGUAACGAAAUGUUUUUCAUCAAAAAAUAUCAAUCAAACAGUACAAGAGUAGAAAAUUUGAUGGAACAAUGACAUUUCUCACGAAAAAUAUUGACAAUCAAACGCACCGUUAGUGGAAAUUACACCUAACCAAAAUUUUAAGAUCCAAUUUUAAAAAAUCAUAUCUAAAUUUUGUUUAUACAAAAAUCAGAUACUAACUCAAAUCCUUAACAUUAAUAAUAUUCAAUAUUCUCUAUCUUUUCUCUCUAAAUCAUAACCACCCAAAUACUAAAAAUCACAAAUCAUAAUCUCUCUCUCUCUCCAAUGGCUUCGUCGACAACAGGUAGAAAAGAGGUGACUCCAACGAUCGCAACACAACUUGGAGCACAGAUGUACAAGACUCGACGCAACGGCAAAACCACCGUUAUGUUAUCAUGUGCAAAGCCACCAGAUCGCCGCCACCGUCACUGCUACAACAUCCACCCCUCCUCUCUCUUUAUUACAUGGAAGACUACUAUUGAAGACCACCGUGCAGGUCCAUUCUUUCUUCUUCUUCUUCUCUUUUUUUUUUUUUAGCUUUUCUUGUACUUUUGAUAUUCUACAACUUUUUCUCUAUAUAAUAAUUCGUUUAUUGACAUUUUAUGAUUUAGUAGAUUGGGGUGGUGAUGAUGGUGUGUUGUUUUUGCAAUUGUCAUGGUGCUAUGCAGUUGUUGGUGUAGUAGUGGUGUUGUAGGUGCAAUCAUGUUGGCGUUGUGGCGAUGGCUCUAGCGAUGGUGUCUUGGUUGUUGUGGUGGGUUCAAACAUUCUGUGGUGGUGUUGUGGAUGAUGUGGUGGUGAUGUUGGCGAUUCGAUAUGGCAGUGGUGAUCGGGAUGAUGGUGUUGUGGCAAUGUUUUGGUGGCUAUGAUGGUGAUAUUGGCAGUCUGGUGUGGCAGUGGUGGGGAUGGUUGUUCCGGUACUCGUUGGUAGGAUGGGAUGAGAUGAGAUGGGGCAGGGAUGUUUGUGAUCAAGUAUUUGAUUGACUGUGAUCAAUUAUUUGGUUGAUUGUGACAAAUAAAUAAUAUAUGAUCUAAAAAAUGUGAUUGUGACUCACAAUUUAUUAAGUUGCGAUCGAAAAAUAACUUGUGACUAAUUAAUUUAAUAAUUUUUGACGUAUUGAUUUGUAAUUAAUAAAUAAAUUGUGACUUGUAAAAUUUUUUAUUUGUGUAAAUUAUGAUUUAUAAAAUUUUUUAUUUAUGAUUGAGGAAUAAUUUAUAACCAAUUAAUUCAAUAUUUUGUGACCAGAUUGUAUGAAAUUGUGACUUUAAUAUAUUUAACUAAUAAAAUAUGUUUUUAAAUCAUUAUUUCAUAAAUAAAUUUUAAUAAUAUCUUAUUUUUAAGUUUUAAAACUUGUUUCCUAAUUUUGAAAUUUGUUAUAGUUAACCAUUUAGUUUUGAAAAUUUCCCUUAAAUUUAAUCUCGUGAUUAUGGUCUUUUGUACCAUCAGGCGCCGCCUGAUGAGAAAGAAACAUUCAAUAUUAGUUAAACAAAUAUAUUUUUUUUGACACGAUCAAAAGAAUAAUAGUCACGAGAUAAAUGACUACCUUAACUUUAUUAUCUCAAGGAUUUAAGAGGGAUUUGCUAUUAACACGUAAUAUGCUUUUCAAGAGCCUAACAAUGGCCGCCUAUUCUUUUAGUAGGCACAAUUCAAUUCUCUAACUAAGAGUCCGUAUGUUUCUCAUUAUUAUAGUAAGAAUGUAUUUUAAAAUAGUAGAUCGAUGAAAAAUGUGUGAUUAAAAAAAUAAGUUUUUUUUUUAAUUUGUGUGUAAUAUUAUUUUAUUGAAAAAUAUAUGACUGAAAGAAAAAUAUAAUUUGAAAAAAAUGAGUAUCAAAUAAAGGCUAAAUGUUAGUUUCGUAUCUGUUGACUACUCAUAGAUUAAAGGGUUAGUUCAACUCAAGUGGAAGCAAAAGCAUAUUAUAGUGGCCCCCCGGGGUACAGCUCAACUGGUAGAUCAAUCAACAUUUGUCUUGUUUUCAGUGGCAGGGUGGAGGUUCGAAUUCUGGUGGGAACCUGAAGUCAGAUUUAUUUGGUAUGGAGCAAUCACUUUGGAGGAAGAUCUCUUGUGCACAGAAGUGUACAGGCGGUGGGGGGAACCUGUGAUCCAAUUGAGGCAUAACUCGCGAUUUACCCCCUCCAAGGUUCUAGGGGCAAGGGUCUUGGGGGUUUAGGAUUUAGUUUAAUGUAAACUGGGAUACCUGAAUAUAAAAAAAAAAAUGCAUAUUAUAGUGAAAGAAUGAAAAGGCGUUAGUUUAUCUUGAGUCACACCAAAACCAUAUAUAUCUAGCUAAAUCAGUUCGAUUCUAGUUAAAAUUCGUCAUGUUAUUAGUUUUAGCUAUAAAUUGGAAUUUCUAAAAACUAUUUUCACAUAACCGAUAAUUAAUAUGCUUGAUUUAUUAAUGCAUAAGAUUAUUAACAACUUGUUGCCUAAAAAAGAAAGUGUGAAAAGUGAAAUUAGAAAUUUUAAACAACAAUUUACCCUUUAUAAUUUAUUUUUGAGGGUAAAAGUGAGAUUUUGUGUGAGAUGGAAAGCAGUUAACGACAUUACAUAGAUGUUAAGAUUGAAAAAUUAAAAUAAAUGAGGUGUUAAUUUAAAAUGACGUAUUAAUUACUAAUUGAAUAAACAAUAAAUUGGACAACAAAAAUUGAGCAUCAGAUCUAACAAACCAUCUUCUCUAAUAAAGGGUCCCUACCAAUUACCGGGUAUGUUACCUAAAAAAGAAAGUGUGAAAGGAGAAAUUAGAAAAUUUUAAACAACAAUCUACCCUUUAUAAUUUAUUUUUGAGGAUAAAAUUGAGAUUUCGUGUGAGAUAGAAAGUAGUUAACGAUGUUAUUUAGCUGUUAAGGUUGAAAUACCAAAAUAGAUAACACGUUAAUUAAAAAUAACGUGCGAAUUAUUAAUUAAAUAUAAACAGUAAAUUUGACAACAAAAAUUGAACAUUUCAAACCAUAUUCUCUAAUAAAGGGUCCCUACCAAUUACCGAGUAUGAAAAGGGUAUAACUUGACUUCCGUGCGGCGCACGUGACCAGUGGAAUUUGUCUUUUAAAAGUCCGAUUCGAUCUAAUCCAAUACUGGUAGCGCAGUCCACACGCGUCGGUGAAUUGUAAUUCAACCAAUGAGAAAAGUACACGAAUCUUGGACGCCGUGCCACGUGACGGCGCACAUUAGGGCUUCUCAAUACACACUUGCCUCCCCAAAAGCACCUAAUGUAUUAACUUUUAUAAUGAUUAUUAUAAUCUAAUUAACCUUUUAUUAAUUGUUAAUAAUACUUAAUUAAUGUUAAUUCCUAAUUUUUUAAUUCUACAACAAAUCGACAAAGAAGAGUAAUUUAAAAAGAAUUACUGGCGUGAGAAUGUCCGCCUGCGACAUCUUUAGCUCCUCCGGCUAUAAAUAUUGAAUGUAUUAUUUCUGGUGCUUUUACUCGAUUAAAUUAAAUAUGAGUGGACGAUGUAUUUACUUAUGAAAAAUGUUAUAUUGGGGUUACAAUUUCAAUUUAGGUAACGUUAGAUGAUAAGAUAAAUGAAACGUUAAACUAAAUGAUUUAUUUAAUUCUACCUAUCAUUUAAUGUCACAUUAACGUCAUUUAAAUUGAAAUGUAACUUCAAUUGGACUUAAUAGCAUUACUCAUUACUUAUUUGUUCAUUUAUGUCGCCUUAGGUCGUGCUUUUUCAUAGUGAUUCAAUGCAUUUUUACUUUUUAAGUUGAAUUCACGUUAGAUGUCUUUUGUUUCCAUUCUACCUAUUAAUGAUAUGACAUGAAAUUUUGUUUGUUACGCAUUACUUGUUUAUAUAUGUUAUGAAAGCUCGAUUCCUCGAAUUUUUGAGAUAUUUGAAAAAUUGGGAUUCCAAAUUUACAAUUUAAAAUCGUUCACCUUUCUUAAUCAUUUGUUGAGCAUAUUACAAGUGGAGAAUCUUUCAAUUAAGUGGGUGAUGAAAUACAUUUCCCAUGAUCAUUUGUGAGUUCAAGAAUAUUUUGCAUGUGCACAAGUUGAGAUUAUUGUAAGGUAGUAAAACAAAAACAUGUUAGCCCCUUUUAUCAUUAUUCAAUAUUUACGCGUUUAAAUAUAGGUCGGAUAUAUAAAUUAUGUGUCUUAGACCUUAUUCGAUGUAAAUUUUUUAAUAAUGUAUUUUAUGAAAAGUGAAUUUAUUUUUAUUUUUUUACUAAUUAUUUUUUUUUAUUUUUUAUUUUUUUAAGAAUGUGUGGUUAAAAAGUAUAGAAAAGUUAUGAGUCCUAAAAUUAUUUUAUUUGAAAAAUGUAUGAUUGAAGAUGAAUUUGAACAGAAUGAUUUUCCAAAAAUCUCUACCAAACAGAUGCUUAAAUCAAUCAAAGGCAAUUCUCGGCCUUCCAAGAGACGGGAGGAUUGAUCUUUUUAUUCAAGCCUUUGUCCUCUAUCUUACAUUUUGAAUUUUUAAUACUUCGUGCUAAAGAUGCUUUUGAACAAAUAAAAAGGUAAAAAUGGAGAAUGGUAUGUUCUCCAAAAUUUUCAAUUUGAUCCCCAAAUGCAUCAAACCAUCAAAUCAAAAGCUUAAACACAAGUGGAUCAUAUUAAUUACUUAAUUAGGAACACUGAUCAUGUUAUUGGAAGAAGUAUUAGAUAAUUGUUAUUUGUCUUUUUAAUAUUUGUAAAUAAUAUUUUUUGGGAUGUUUAGAUUCUCCACAUUAGUCUUUUGGCACGAAUGAUGUAUUUGAGUAUUUCUACUAUUUAUAUAAAAACUAAUCUCGAAAAGGUUUCAAGAACUUUAUUGUUUACGUAUUGUUUGAGGGAAUUUUUAAGCUUUUUGGCUAAUUAAGAAUCUGCUUUUAUUCAAGGAUAUAUAAUGUGAAGACAAAACAAUUUAGCCCCUGUUUCACGAUCAUUAUUUGAAUUUUUUUCUACAUACUCAUUUUUAUCCCACAUUCGCACAAUAAAAUAUUCUGCAUAUAAAUUCAAAUUUUUUCUUACUUUUUUAAUCACACGUUCUUCGAAAAAGUACUAUUCAAAAUAUUGUUUUAUAAAAUAAUGAUCAUCAACGACGGCUUAAUAAUAAAAGAAUAAACAAAGAAAUAUUAAAUAAUAAACCGUGUGGUUCAAAUUAGUACAAGUCAUUCCAAUAAUUUGAUUUGAUAGUAAUCUACUCGCUUCAAUUUUUAGUCCUCGAGAGGUUAGAGUGAAUAAAAUGUAGAAAAAAAUAAUGUUUAACGUACAUAAUUAUUUUAUUGAAAAAUGUGUGAUAUAAAUAAUUUUAAGGAAAAAAAAACAUAAUCAAACAAGGGCUUAAUUUUACAACCAUCAAUCUAAAAUAGGUUUGCAAAAUGAGGCAAGUACCUAGGCUUUGUGAUUGCACCUCCUAGAUUUCAUUGAUAUUACUAAUGGUUGCCAAACUCCUAUUCAAUGAUUAAGCUAUUGAACCUUUUUUUUAUUAAGAAGUAGAAGGUCACGAGUUGGUGGAGUAGGUGAACGCGAAAGCAUUUAGUCACGAAUUCGAUUAUCCCUAUCAACACUUUCUCGAUCAAGCAUGUCACACCGAGCUUGCAUAGUGCUGCUUACCUAGCUAGCUUGAUUUGCAGGUUAUUGCGUCAACUCGAGGGGUUUACCCAGUGCGCACCCGAAGGGUAACGGCCUCAGGAUUCUCCCGUCAUUAAAAAAUAAAAAUAAAAAGGAAAAAAAAGUCAAUUUUAGAAAUUUAGAAUGUGAAACAUCAAAAUUACAAUGUGAAUAUACUAUUUUGAAAGUUCCUCGUCGACUUACUCACUACAAAUAACGUUAUUAUAUUGCAUAUAAUGUUAAUAACGCUCAAUUAUGUCCUUAUACUAAAUUUGGAUAAAAGUUGCCUAUCCAGACAAGUGUAUAUUGUUUGUAAAAUAAAAAUUCUACUCAUAAGUAGUCGAAUCACACAAAGAGACCAAACGAUCCAUAUAGAAAACUAUAAACUGCUCUUAUAAUAUACUUGUUGACUUAAUAUAAGUAAAUUAAUAAUUCAAUUUCAUUCAUAUAUAAAUCCGACUCAUUCAUAUACUCGAAUAAUUCAUGUAUAUGCUCGAAUAAAAGUACUUAAAAUAACUGGAUAAUAAAAUAUAUGACAUUUGAAUCCUUUCUUGACAUGAAUUUAAAGAAAGAACUUAAAAAUAUCAGCACUUUUGUCAGUCGCCCUUACAAGAUUACCUGGAUCAAUAUUAGGCCCAAAGCACAUAAAUUAAAUAGAAAAAAAUUGCAAUGCAACAGUAUUUUAGUGGAAAAAGGUCUCAUAAACAAAAAUGUUCUUCAAAUCCCUAUAUUGAAUUGAAGAAAUUAUCACAUAAAAUUAGAUGAUAAAAAGGUUUAAGCUUGAAUUGGUCGAGUGAAUUACGUGUUGUAUAUGACAUUUUUAACAAGUGAAUAAAUAAAAAUCGUCUAUUAGAAUUUAAAGUGUAGGAAAAUUUUGGUAGGAUGAUCCUUGACAUACGCUUGAUGAGAUCGUCUAUUCAAGUGAUGACAAAUUUUUCGUGUCCUAUUUAAUUUUUAUUGUGUUCCAAAUUUAGUAAAUAGUAAUUGAUAGGUGUGUGGGAAAUUAUUAAACUUCAAAAAGACAGUCAUUCGUUUCUUACAAAGUCCGUAUGUGUGUUUCACUGUUUUGUGCUUUUAAAGUUGAAAUAAAUAUUUAACAAAUCCAACUACACAAAUAUUAUUGUGAAAGACAAAAUCUGUUCAUAUAUUUAAGAAACGCUGGAAUAUUCUUAAUCGUAGUUGAAAUAAAGAUAAUAAUAUUAGAAUUACAAUAGUGGGAUAUGUAAAUUGUUUAGUUUGAAUUGUAAUUUAUUGAAUUCCGUUUGAAUCUUUGAUCGAAAUAUAUUUUUAUUUAUAUGCUAAAAUAUUUAAUAAAUAUUUAUAAAUUAUUUUUGUCGUCAUGUCAUUGAGUUUGUUUGAUAGAUUUGUAAAGAAAAGAGGUUGGAAAAAUGACUUGAUUAAGCUUAUAUUUGGCACAAUUUUAGAUGGGAUCCAUCAGUUCAGUUUGGAAUAUCAAAAUCGACCCAUGUUCUCCUCUAUAAGAACGUGAAAUCAUAUGUUUACUUGUCAAAAAUGAUGAACGUGUCAAUGAGAAAUUGGUGUUCAAAAUUGAUCAUCGGAAGAAUGUUUAUGUUGGAGGGAAAACUAUAUUUAGGUUUAUCCCACAUAAGAAGUUAAUGAAAGCAAUGACUACUUUCUAGAUAGUUAUACUUUUUACAUCGAGUUUUGAACUUAUAAGUGUUCACGUUUAAGUGUUCACGUUUUGCUAAUAUUUGCUUUCUCCAAUUGACUUUUUGGUUUCUAAAACUGCUGAAACUCUUACUUUCUCCAAUUGAUUUUAGCUUCUGAAACUGUUGACAUUUCAAUGGUUAUUGUCAUUAUAAUAUUAAAUUAAUGGACAAAUUUACUCACCAUUCAUGAGGGCCAAGUUUAAAACUGAGCUUUUUUCCACCAUUCAACAUCAGAAAAAAUUACAAUACUCUUUUGCAUAGUUUCCAGUUCUAAUUUAUAAAAAAAAUUGUCAUUACCGUCUAAGUCUUAGUGAUGCUGUUCUAACACGAAUUCAUUUCGUCGGAGUAGAAAUUAAAGUGCUCAAAUUUUACUUGUUCUUCGAUUGUAUUUUGGGAGACAGACAUCCAAACAAUACCUCAAACAUUUACGGUGAGGGGACGAAUCUUUUUUAAUGGAACUGUGUACACAUAGGCCUCGAAUUGCAUAUUUAUAUUAUUCUUAGCGCAUAAUAUAUUUUUGUAUUUUUCAUUCUAUUUUUGUUUAUAUUCUUACUGUAAUAAAUAAAAUUCAUAUUAUUAUAACAAAUUUAAAAUAGAUUCGAAAGUAAGAACAGAUAUAUUCAUAUAUUAUUAUUCAAAAAUAGAUAUUCAUUCGAUUUUUCAAAAAUGGCAACUGAAUCAACCAACAUGGAUGUGACUCAAACUGUGGUUACUGAAAAUCAGGCUAUGGACUCUGUUGUGGCUCAAGGGCCUAAUUUGUUGUAAUUUAGACUAUGGCUAAAUUGUCAAGUCAUGCUGUGAAUCAAACCGCGGCUUUAACAACUGGCCAUAUGUUACCGUUCCAGUUAAUCAUGGAGAAAAAAUUGAAAAAAUUCAACGGCUAGAAUUUCAAAAGGUGACAGUAGAAAAUGCUAUUUUACUUUACCAUCUUGAAUUUUGCGAUAUUUUUGAUUGAAACUGCUCCAAAAUUCAAAAACGACGAGGGGGUGUUCAAGCAAUUAGUGCACUUGAUACUUGAAACCAUUCAAAUUUCUUGUGUCAAAACUAUAGAAUAGCCUGACAGAUUCACUAUACAACUCCUAUAGUACGAUGAAAAUUACAAAUGACUUGUUGGAGUCUUUGGACAAAAGAUAUAAAAUUGAGGAUGCUAUGCUAAAAAGUUCAUUGUUUGUAUAUUCUUAGAUUAUAAAAUGGUGGACUCAAAAACUGUAAUCAUUCAAUUGCAAGAACUUCAAGUGAUUCUUGUGAGAUUCAUGCCGAGUGAAUGAUUUUGAGUGAAACUUUCCAAGUAGCUACAAUUAUUGAAAAGUUACAUCCGGCAUGAAAUGAUUUUAGGAAAUAUCUUAACAUAAGAGAAAGAAAAUGAACAUCGAAAAACUUAUUAUUAGAUUUCGAAUUGAAGAAAUAUAACAACAGUUUAUAAAAGAAAUAGUUCAAUCCUAGUAUUGCUAAAGUCAAUGUUGUAGAGCAUGGUCAAAAUCAUAAGACCUAAAAAAAUAAACAUGGGACAUCCGAGGGUAAAAGGACCAAGCUAUGACCAAAAUGUGGAAUUUCUAAAAAGAAAUUUAAAGAAAAAUGUUUCAACUGUGACAAAAUGGGUCAUAAGUCUUCGGAGCAUAUAUUGCCAAAGAAGAAGAAAGAAGCAAAUGUAGUUGACUAUAUAGCACAUGAUGUAUCGGAUAUGAAUCUCGUAAUCAUCAUUUAUGAAGAUAUGGUGGGUUCAAACCCACAAGAGAGACAGAUUGACACCAAAGCUGCGAGGUAUGUGUGCUCUGAUAAAGAGUUGUUUACUACUCUCGAAGUAAUUGAGAACGAAGAGAAGUUGCUUAUGGAAAAUUCAGGAACUUCUGAAAUCAAGGGUCAAUGAAAUAUGAUUUUGAAGAUGACUUCGAGAAAAGAGAUGACUUUUAACAAUGUGCUAUAUGUGUCAAAAAUCUACAAGAACCUAUUGUCUGGGUCAUUUUUGAAUGACAUGAUUUUUGUAUUAUAUUUGAGUCGAACAAAGUUAUUUUAUCAAAAAGUGGAAUGUUUGUUGGAAAAGAUUAUGUCUUCGAUCAUAUGUUUAAGUUAAAUGCAAUGGUUGUUAAGCCAAAAAUGUGAAGUAAAUUCUUCUGCUCAAUUUGUAGCAUGGUAGACUAUGACAUAAAUACUAACUACGAUACUUUACGCAAACGAAUAAACUUGAAUUGCAUGCCCGCAUUCCAUAUUGAUUCCAAACAUAAGUGCGAAACUUGUGUUCAGAAAAAACUGACAAGGUCAUCAUUUAAAUCAAUUGAACGGAAACAAAGCCAAUUGAUUUAAUUCUCAGUGACAUGCGAUUUAAAGUCUGUACAAACAAAAGGUAACAACAAGUACUUCCUUACUUUUGCCGAUGAUAGCACAAAAUAUUGUUAUAUGAAUUUGCUUAAAAGUAAGGAUGAAGCCAUAGAUAAAAUUAUUCUCUAUAAGAAUGAAAUUGAAAAUUAACUUAAUAAGGGUGGAAGUUGUGUUAUCAGCAAAUUACAUUUUAAAUAAGGUAUCUCGACAGAAAAUGGAAAACCCCUUAUAAGUUAUGGAAAUGAAGAAAGGAAAGGAAGAAAGUCUUCUUAUAAAUACUUACAAAUGUGGGAUGUCUUGCUAAAGUGGAUGUUCCAACACCAAAGAAAGUAAAAAUAGACCCGAAAAUUGUAGACUGUAUCUUCAUUGGUUAUGUUUGUAAUAGUAGUGUUUAUUGAUGUUUUAUGCAUGAAUCUAAAAUCUCAAACACACACAAAAACAUGAUAAUGGAAUCGAGAAAUGUUUCAUUUUUUGAAUAUGUAUUUCCGUACAAAUUCAAAAAUGAAACAAGCUCUUCUAAACGGACACAUGAGACUAUGGUUAGAAAUAGUCAGGACCAAGAACUAGAAGAAGAGAUUGAGGUUGGACCAAAAUGAAGUAAAAGAGAAAUGACAGGAAAAUCUUUAUGGUCCUGAUUUUCUAAUUUAUAUGCUAAAAAGUGAACCUCAAAGUUAUCAAGAAGUUAUAAACUUUUCAAAAUGACCUCAAUGGAAAGAUGCCAUUAAAAGUGAAAUAUAUUUUAUUUUGCAAAAUUAUACAUGGAAGCUAGUGGAUCUUUCUCCAAGAAGUAAACCACUAUGCUACAAAUAAAUUUUCAAAAGAAAAAGGAAAGUAGAUAGAACUAUCAAAAAGUAUAAGGUCAGAUUAGUAACAAAAAGUUACAAACAAUGAGAAGGCCUUGACUACUUUGAUAUAUAUUUUCUAGUGACGAGAAUAACAUCUAUUAGGAUGAUACUUACAAUUGUCGCUCUGCAGAUCUCGAAGUAUAUCAAAUGGAUGUUAAAACUGUCUUUUUAAGUAGAGAUUUAGAGAAAGAAAUCUACAUGAAACAACCUAAGGGGUUUUCAUCACCAGGCAAAAAAAGAAAGUCUGUAAAUUAGUGAAGUCAUUUUAUAGUUUAAAACAAACACUCAAACGAUGGCAUGAAAAAUUUGAUAUUUUCAUGGUGGAGUGUAGAUUUAAAAUCAAUGAGUACGAGAAAUGUGUUUACGUUAAAGACAACAAUAAUGAUUAUGUUAUUUUAUGUCUUUAUGUUGACGACAUGCUUAUUGUUGGUAGUUAUAAUAAGAUGAUUAAAUUCACUAAAAAUAUGUCAAAUUCCAGAUUUGAUAUUAAAGAUAUAAGUUUAGCUGAUAUUACACUUGUAAUCAAAAUUUCAAGAAUAUUAGAUGGGUUCGUUCAAAAUCAAUCACAUUAUGUGCACAAAAAUAAAAAUAAAAUUAACAAUGAUGAUUCUGGCAUGGUUAAAACAUCGACAUAUACAAGUCAAUAUCUAUCUAAAAAUAAGGUGAAAGUGCCUCUCAAGUAGAAUACUUGAGAAUUAUUGAAAUGCUAAUGUACUCGAUGAAUUGUACAAGAUAGACAUAGCCUACACAGUUAGUAAACUGAGUAGAUACACGAGUAACUUAGGAAUCGAUCACUAAAAAAUAAUAGUAAGAGUACUGAGAUACCUAAGAUAUAUUCGUAAUUUAAACUGCACUAUACCAUAUGUCCAAUUGUCAUUGAAGGAUAUAAUGAUACUAAUUGGAUAUUUGAUAUAAAAUACUCAAUAUUUACUAGUGGAUUUGUGUUAACAAUGGGGGGUAUAGCUAUAUCCUAAAAAUCCUCUAAACAAACAGUUAUAACUAUAUCUGCUAUGGAAUCUAUGUUUAUAAAUAAAUGUUAUAAAGAGGCCGAGUUGUUAUACAGCUUCUUAGAUGAUAUUUUAAGAUGGUUAAAAUCCGUACCAGCAAUUUGCAUAAAUUGUGAUAGUUAAUCAACAAUUGCCCUGAGUAACAUAUACAACAGUAAGUCUAGACAUAUACGUCAUAGACACAAUAUCAUAAGGCAACUACUUUCAAUUAGAGUUAUUACUAUUGAGUAUAUAAGGUUAAAGGAUAACAUUAUGGAUUCGCUAGUCAAAGGGUUAAAUAGAGAGUUAGCUGGAAAAUCAUCGAAAGGAAUAAGACUUAAGCUCUUGAAUAAAUAAGUUAACGCAAAUAAAAACCAACCUGAUUGUCUGGAGGUCUUAAGAUUUAGAUUCAAAGGGACAAUUUAAUUGUAAAGAUUUAAUUGAAUCACCGUGGGGAUGUUAUCUCAUGUUCAUUCCUACGUUGCAACAGUGAUGCUUGUAAGAAUGAAGGAUAAACAAUAGACUUUUAAUGGUUUUUAUUCGUUGAAAAUCGAGCAAAUUAAUGCGGAUUACUUCCAAUAAAAAAUCACCCAUGUGAGAAAAAAGUUGGAUCGCUUCUAAGAGAAUUGUAUAGUGCUUAAUUCUUAUGAUCUCUCGUCAUGUCUACUGGUCAACUAGUAAAGUAAAUAAGCUCUCACAAGGAAAGGUUCAAAGAGUAAUAACUAUCUGUCCUAUGCAAGUUUCAACCCUUAAACUAUACCAUCAAGUCUUUAUGUUUCACAUUUUUGUAUUACUCCCAAUUUUCAUUCAUGUGGAGGAUUGUUGAAAAAAUGGCUUGGUUAAGCUUACUUUGGUACAAUUUUAGGUGGGACCCAUUUGUUUAAUUUGGAAGAUCAAAGUUAAUCAGUAUUCUCCUCCAUAAAAAUAUUGAAAUCAUAUGUUUACUUGUCAAAAAUGAUAAACGGGUUAAUGAGAAACAAGAGUUCAAAGUCGACCAUUGGAAGAAGGUUAUGUUGAAGGAAAACUAUAUUUAAGUUUAUCCCACGUAAGAAGUUGACAAAUAUAUGUGGUUACACUUUGGAGGGAUUUAAUCAUGUUUAGUAUAGAGAUUCUCUUCAUAUGUGGACGUGAUGGUGCAAAUCAAAGACCAAAAUUGUAUAUCAAAUUUUGAACUUGUGUGCGGGCGCGACCUGCGUCCACAAAUGUCAGACAAAACUAAGUAAAAAUUGGCCCAUUAGGAGUGCCCACGUUUUACUUUCUCCAAUUGACUUUUUAGUUUCUAGAACUGCUGAAACUUCAUUGGUUAUUGUUAUUAUAAUAUUGAGCUCAUGAACAAAUUUACUCACCAUUUAUGAGGCCCAAGUUUAUAACUACGCUCGGUUUUCAUCAUUCAACACCAAAAAAUUACACUCUUCUGCAAGAUUUUUAGUUCUGCAUAAUUUUCAGUUCCAGUUCUUCGCAUAAUUUAUAGUUCCAUUUCUCUAAAAAUUUUCGCCUAAGUCUUGAUAGUGCCGUUCUGACACAAAUUCAUUUAGCUGAAAUAGAAAUGAAGUGCUUAAAUUCUACCGUUUAUUUCGUUGUAUCAUAGGAGAUAGACGUCCAAACUAAACCUCAAGAACCUAAGGUGAGGGGUAAAUCUAUUUUAAGAAAAUUGUGUACACAUAGAUCUCGAGUUGUAGAUUUACAGUAUUCCUAGCAUAUAAUAUAUUUCUGCAGUUUUCAUUAUUUGUUUGUUUAAAUUCUUGCUAUAAUAAAUAAAAUUCAUAUUAUUCUAUAUUAUUAUAACAAAAAGUAUUAGCAAUGAUGUUGCCCAAUGUUAUUGUAAUAAUAUCAUUUAUUGUGGUUUAUUAGUUGAAAUCCAAGAAAAAAAUUUGAGUGGAAGGAUUGAAAGAAGUAAGAGAAAAAAAUAUAAUAAAAAAUAAAUAUGAUACAACAAUGUGUCCUUAUUUCAACGGAAGUUUUGUCACGUGUAUAUUUAGGUUAAUUACAUGAUUGAUCACUGAGCUUUGCGCAAAGUUUCGAGGGGGUCACUAAACUUCAAAACAUUUUCUGUUAGUAAUGGAUGUGAUAACAUUUUAAACUUUUAAAGUUCAGCGACUCCUUCGAAACCUUACACAAAGUUCAGUGACCAACACAAUAUCUUAUUUUUCCUUUUUUCUAUACUCCUAUCGUACAAUUCUAUUCUCUCUAACAUCUCCAAUCGGGUAACUGAAUUUGAUUUUGAGUUUAACAAUUAGCUAUAACCUUCCAUUUUGUGAACUCUGUAGUGGCGUGUAAUAGUUGUUGGGAAUCUACUUAUACAUGAACAGCGGAAUUUAAAAUAAUUUUCGAUUCCCAUCAAGAAUCGUCUUUGUGUUUAGAUAGAAAUUGUGAUAAUGAUUGUACCUUUGAAAAAUUCUGCAAUCCUUUUGCUUUUCUUUUAGCUCCAUCAACCUUGAUUCGCCACCACAGCUGUCCAGUUGUCCAGCCUCCAACGGUGAUCCACACAGAGAAUAAGAUUGCAGCUUCUAGGAUUUUCUCUUGUGCCAGCAAGAAUAAUGAAAACCAUAUGAACCUCAAACCCUAGCCAUGUAUUUAUAUAAACCCAAACGGGCUCGGUCCGAUCUGGUCCGAUCCGGUCCAAUAUUUAAUUAAUUCAAUUAAUUAAACUUGGUCCGUGAAUUAAUUAAUCAAAUUAAUUAAUUCGGGAAUAUAAAUAACAAAUCCAAUUAAUUAAUUUAUUCAACGAUUGUUAAAUUAACCAAUUGGCAAUUUGCAAUCUUCCAAUUCUCUUUUGUGUGCGACCCAUUAGGUUCCCGACCACGAUAUUUAACGACGUGAAAUAUUAUUUUGAUCUAAUCAAAAUUGAUAAAUUAAAACACCCUUUUAAUUUAUCGUCAAUUCAUACUCGCCGUCCCUAAUUGAUAUCUAGCAAUGUGUCAGGAUAAUACACGUGACGAAAAAUGUCACGUGGUAUGACAAAAUCAAAUUCGUUCGUUUACCGUGAAACUAUAAUCCCUUCGUCAAUAUGAUCCGAUCAAUUACGAGAUAUGGCAUUGUGUCAAUCUCGAUCAUCGAUCAUAUCUUUCACUCCACUAUUAAGUCAAUAUAAGUCGAAAACUCAUUUUCGACUUAUGAGUACACCUUGAUCAAGGAUUUCAUUAUUGACUUAAUUGAAUGAAACGCAGAUCAUAACCUCCUACUAUCUAAGAGUGACGAAUCCUUUAUUGAUCAAUCACAACCUUCAUACGAUUCUUGACGUACCCGAACGAUGUCGUAUUAGCGGCCCUUUUCAGAGCAACAUCCAACAUCGUCAAAGUAUGACUGUCCUCAUAUAAGGUACCAUGACGACCUCAAGUCAAAUGACAAAUUUCACUAUCGAACAUUAGAGAUUAACCACUGACACUCAGAUAAUUUUUCAUGUGAAAUCUCUCGGCGGGUCUCCAAUGUUUUGUUCUAUAACAAAACAUCCACGUGUUCAUUUAAGUGUCACCACACUUUAACUUGUGAGAUCAACUACUUACUUCACAAGUAAGAAAUGCCACACGUGAUGGUCUAUCCGUAAUAACGAUAUCCGUAUCUCGUUAUUACUUACGACCAUGGAUGAUUUAAGAUUCAAUCAGAUGUAAUUUGUAUCUCACAAUCACAACUCCUUGUGAUUAACAAAUUACGGAGGUUUGAAUCUUCAGAUCCUAUUAUUUAUUUAAUUGUCCAUUUUAAUUAAAUAAUAGAUCUGUCAUUAAAUUGCAUUAAUUAUAUAUAUAUCAAAAGCAUUUAUGUCCAAAGUUGAUUGGACUUAGGGCAUAAUACUUACAAUAGUUUCAUAGGCGAUUUCGAUUUCGAUUGUCUAUCCAUCAAGACCCACUUCAAUAAAAAUCAGAAAUCUAUUAGAUUAUUAACUGAAGGUGUGUUUGAAUUUCAAAGUUGAAUAUUUUUAAGCGUUCAAUGUUAAAUGGCUUCUCUUCUGAAAUGGUUGGCUAUGUGGAUUUUUGUUGCAUCUUUUUUUUGAGAGAGGUCAACAAACAAUGUUGUCAAUCAUCCUCAAGAUAAAAUGCUAUUAUUUUCUCUAAGUUUGACGAAGCAAGAAAGUAUAAGACAGUGGGGGUAAGAGUACAGGAAAAAUAAAAAAGAAAGAAAAAGACUAAAAAAGUUAAAUUAUCUGAUUGGUUACUGAACUUUACAUAAAGUUUUCAUGGGUCAUUGAACUUCAAAAAUUGUCCCGAUAGUCAUUAAACUUUGCAACAUGUUAUCCCAGUAACCCACUAGAAAUCUUAUGCAAAGUUUAGUGACUAAUUAUAUCUGUACAUUUAGGACAUUUCUUUAAAAAGUUUUAAUUUUCAUGCUAAGAUGUGAAAAACAUAAAAAGGACUAAAAUUUAAAUACAUGAAAGUUAAGUACUCAAAUGUUACAUUACCUAAUAUGUUAUACCUUUGUUGCAAUGUUCCUUGAAAUCAAUGAAAUCCUCAAUCUUCAAGCAUCAUAGUUGAAAAUCAAUCGACUAAUUUUUACUGCCACAAUCUUAGCACUUACAGCAAAUUCUUAAAUACUGCACAAAUUGGUAAUUGUUCAAUAUUGAAGAAAGGGGUUGACUUUGCAGAGUGGUAAAUUGUGCUUCAGUAGUUGUAUCUCGCCCCAUCAUAACUUUGCAACUGGAACGGGAAUCCAAUCACCGGAAAUGUGGAGAGGCAAAUGGGUUUCGAUUUUCAUUGUUUUUGGGUGCAUAUGCCUUCUCUGCAGUGCUUUCAAUGGUGCUCUUCCUACAGUACCCAAAUUAGGAUCCACUCGUGGUGUCUUUCUGGUAUUAGAUUAGUAUGUGUGUGUGUGUGUGUGUUUUUUUUUUUUUUAAUUAAUUACAGUGUUGAUCACUUGAUCCUGGAUGAUUUUGAAAUAUUGGGAUAUUUAGAGUAGAAAAAUUAAUACAUUCGGAAUUUUGAAUGCUGUUGGUUAUUGGAUUACAUCACUUCUCCUUUGAAGAUUAAACCCAAGUGAAUAAUGGAUCUUAGAUCACCUUGAGGUCACAUAAGAGUGAGAUUAUAAUUUAACGGCCUAGCCAAAUAUUUCCACAGAUCUUUUCAUUGUUCUCUUUUAGGUGCCUCCCUUUUGAGAAGUAUGAAAGUGCGUGGCUAACCCUAAAUCCUGAGAAAUGUUCCCACAAAAAGCAUAUUUAUAAUGCUCAAUUAGGUUUCAUAAUUGCACAAUUUUUCUUGGACCUUGUUGUAGUAGGCCAAUUAAGUCAUAUUCNNN